CUGUUAAAACUAAAAGUUACACACAUUCUAUACACAACUCUGUUAUUAGAUCAUUGAUCCCAUCCUCAACCCUAAAAAAAGCUCUUGAUUUUUGAACAUAUAUCCCAACCAUUUUCAAAUCCACUAGGAUCGGCAUGAGACAGAUGUUCUAAGCAACUACUCUGUUUCUUUCUAAAUAAUGUUGCCUCCAUCCAUUUUCAAAUCCUCUAGAAUAAGCAAGCCUCCAUCAAAAAACACCAAGAGCCAUUAAAGGCAAAUGAGCUCUACUUGAUCUCUAUCAAAAAGACAACAAUAAUCAACUGAGUAACAAGCAAACAAGCUCAGCUAAGAUGUAGUAUUUUGGGAGGAGAAACAAAAAAACAAACUCAAUUGCAACCAUCACAAACCAGAAACAACAAAAGAGUUGUAGUUAAAAAUAUAUACAACAACUUAACCUAAAUCCACAAACUCAUCUUACUACUAAUUAUACAACAACACAUUCCUCGUUCCUAACUUGUCACAAUUUCAGAGACUUCAAUUGAAAAGUGAGAGAUUAAAAAAAUUGCCAUUUGCACCACACGCAUUGCCCCCAUCUCAAACAACAACCUGGCAAUCUCUUGACCCACCGGCCAAAGUACCCAACCCGCCUUUCGACGAAAGAGAAACCGCCACGCCACGGCACAAAACCCUCGAGAGCCGCCGCCUCAGCCUCCACCCACUUCUCCUAAACUCAACCCUAGCCAAAAGCCUCACGUUGAAGCUCACGCUCCCACGCGCCUCGUCUGCGUCGAUGCCGAGGGCAACCGGAGCGCCAACGAACGAAUUCGCCGCCAACAAAGUCGCGAUGACAGACGUCCGAUCCUUAGUCGCCUGAGCGAACGGCGGAAUUAGACGCCCUUGUGCAUUCCUAAUAACAAGACUCGAUGCCGAAUCACCAUUUGAUAAAACAUAACCGUCAAAAUUGAUUUAAUGUUAUCCUUUUGUCAUUCUCUUAUAAACCUGAAAAAUAUAAUUUUGUGAUAAUUUAAGAUUUACGUAUUGAGUUAUCAAUCCAUGGUGGAGCCGCCAUGGUCUUUAUCUGUAAGGUCUCCACGGUGUAACCCACCCUUGCUGAAAAACCGUCCACAUGGCGUCCUUUGGGGGUAUAUUGCUUUCAUGGUAAGAUGAUGACGACCGUGCUAUAAGGGUAAAGUUGGAAUAGAACUUGUAAAAUAAUAUAAAUAAGUACUUUUUAGACAUUUGAAGCUGUUAGGAAGUUUUUUUAUUUAUAUAUAUAUUUUUUCAAAAAGAAGCCAAUGGUCAGACUAUUGUUUGCGUUUAAAUAAAGAUAUUUUAAAAUUUUAUUAUUAAAAAAAAGAAAAGGUGUUAAAUUUUAAGAUAUAUUAUAAUAAUAAUAUUUUGAAACAUUUUUUUUUCUCUAAAACAAAUAUAAUAUAGUAAAUGGAAUAGAAAUGGGUUGGCCGCUGGGUCUCGGUCAACAUGGGCUAUGACGGUGAGCUUGCAACGAUCGAAUUACCUUGGUCCUACUUGCCCAAAAAUAUAAGACGUGUCAGCCCACAAGGUGGGAGGACUGGGCGACUGCACAUGGCCCCUAAAAUAACGGGACCUCCUACACACUUCCAGUCUACUAAGUAUACUAGCAAAAAAUGCUUUUUAUGUGUUGAAACUGUUGAUUUAAAUAAGUGAAAUAAAAUCCUAAUCUACUGUGGCUGCACAUAAAUAGUAAGUUUCCAAUAAAAUAUUUUAUUAUAAUCUUGUAAUUGUAAUCCAAAUCAAUAAAAUAUUAUACUUAAUGACAAGACCCGCCCCGGAAUUUUCCCAAAAUCGAGGCGAAUCCCGUCUUUAUUCCGACAUCACCCCGAUGCCGGGCCCACUUACUAGAAACCGAGACUCUCUACCAAAAUUUUGGCAGAGUCUCCCCUAUGAAUUGAACAACCCAACAAAAUUUAACCUGCAUAAAAAUACAGAAUAAUCCCAACCAGCAGCAUGCUUUACAACGAAUAAACAGUUUACAACAAAAUGGCCUCCGGCCUCACAAUUCAAACCCUAACAGGGGCGAUAACAGAGCAUGUCUAAGAACUUCAAUUUCAACAAAACAGAGUACAAAGGAAAUAAUAGGAAGAAAGAGUCCUACGAUGACUCAAGGCUCGGAAGCUCACGAUCCGGCUCUGCUGCGGAGUUCAGUCAACUACUGGCUGGGGGGCGCAAAACAGAAAAUUGUGAGUGGACAAAAAUAAAUUCAGUUCAGUGUAAACCAACGUAAUAUAACCCCAUCGUUUAGAAAACCAUGCAAGAAAUCCCAUGCAUCUCAAAACCGUCAUACUCAAGUAUCUACAUAUAUAUAUAUAUAAUAUAUCAAAACCAAUCAAUACCAGAUGCCAAGUCCAAAAUCCAUAAAAAACGCUUUACAAAACCUGCCAUCCAAAACUUAUAAAUCCCACAACCAAACUCUCGAAAGUGUACCCAUUGGCACGACCGGCAAGGAAGUAUCCACACCGAGAAACAAGAAUGAAUGAAUAGAUAUAAAUAUAUAAUAUAAGAGAGAUAUAUAUAUAUAUAGUAUAAAUAUAACCAUCACCUAGUUGUACCAGGGAAACAAUCCAACCGGGGGAUUGUUUGACUAGUCACCCUGGCAGAGUCCUCGUGAUGAGUCCUCAAUCCACCAUGUGACUAGGGAACGAGCCGUCCAACUGGGGGACCAACUCUCAGCCAGAACGUACCGUCGAUAACCUCAAAACCCGUACGUCUGUGAACAGUCCUACGCGCGCAGACUACCCAAUUAAGGGUCUACAGCAACAUCCCGUCAAGGAUGCCCCGGGUCCCGACAAUUCCAAGUAUCUCAAGUCUCCGUAUCCAAGUUCCACAUCAGGGGAGCUACAUAAGGUAGUGCUUACCGCACACCAAACUGACAUUCUAUACUCACCACUUUCCACAAUCUCAUCUCAACAACCCAAGUACCUCACACAUAACCAAAUAUAUAUAGAAAUCCCCAAAAUCCAUAUAUUCAUACUCAAGAUACUCAAAUACGUCAAAACCCAAAAUAUAUUUUCAAUGCCUCACAAAAAUAUCACUUUCAACAAUUUCAUAAAUAAUAUAUCCCCAAAAUACCAUUUAAAACAUCAUGCAUAAUAUUUCUCAAAAUCUAUAUAAAAUAUACUUUCAAUACCCAACUAUGCCAAAGCCGCAAUAUUUUACCAAAGCGCUAUAAAAACAUCAAGUUCAACUCAUGAAUAUAAUAUAUUCAAUAAAUCAUUAAAAACAUUAUGCGUAAAUCUUUCACCAAUAAAACCAUGCAUAAGAUUUGAAAACAAAGUCCACUCACAAGUACUCCCACGCUGCUUGACCCUGAGAGGGUCCCGCCUGCUGUGUAAGCAUAGUCGGAGUACCUAAUUCAGAAUACGUAUACGAGAUUAAUACGAAACGUUUGGAACGAGUACUUUAAAUUAAAUAUCCUAAUUUCCCAGGUCUCUAGUAAGUGUACUAGGAACGAGACGUUCUAAGGUCCAACUACUCAAUUUGGACGAUGGAACAACCUCGGGAGACACUCGGUCAACCAGCGGUCAAACUUCCCAAUUUGGGUCAACCGGGCCCACGGGACCCACGACCUCCGUUUUACAAUCCGAAAGUUCCUAAAGGUUUCACAAGGUCUAAGAUAACCGUCCCGCAAGUUUAGUCCGAAACGGACGGUUAGAUCGCUUACGAUCGCACGAUCGGACGAUUAUUAUAAAACACAAACUUUAAGUUAUUGAAUCGGAACAUCUGGGGUUCCGAUUCACGAUCCGCGAAUUCCUAUACGAUCCUAGGAAUACCUAGAACAACAUAUUUUAAUUCGGAAAGGAUCUAACGGUCGGAACCUAUCGAACUCAGAUAACGCACAAUAUGCGAAAAUCCGUUCGAUAGUCAAACGAUGUCCGAAUUGAGAUCCGCAAAAUCCUACGUGCUCGUGACAACAAGGAGAUCGCAUUGGGACAAAUAUGCCCCUCUGCUACAGUGCCCACGCGCCGCCACACGCGCGGGCAGCGUGUGGGUGUCCAAAGCGAUAAGGCUUCGUCGGAAAAACUCAACCUCUCGGCUCAAGAUUCCUACCCUAGGUACAACACCCUAUUUGGAGUCACUUUUGUUCUUGGGCCUACCCCAAAAAGUGAUCGGAAGUGGCCGAAAAUAAACUCCCAAAAUCGGCAGAAUUUCAAAUUGAAGAUCAGCUAUCCUAGGCUCAAAAUUAACGAAAUCCUAUCCAACCAUCAGCUAGAGCAUGGAAAAUAGGUAGAAAACCAUACCUUACUCGUCAAAUUUGGUGGAGAAAUGAGGGAGAACGAGCGGUUUGAAAAUCUGUGAAAACCGGCUCGUUUUUCUGCAGAUUCCGGCGACACCAGCAGCUGCCGAGGUCGGGGAUGGAGCGGGAUGGAAGGAGGAGGAGCUGGCGGUUCUUUUGGGACCGGUACCACCCCAAACGGUGGCCGGUGAAGGCUGUGGUGGCUCUUGGAGCCACCGGCUGUGCAGAAAAAAAAAACGGGAAGGGGGAGCUGCUCGCGGGAGAGAGAGAGAGAGAGAGAGAGAGAGAAGUCAGAUAUUUUAACCCAAACUUUGAAAUAUUUACGGUUUUGCCACUGUCGAUGUUUUGCCCGUAACUUCUUCGUUACAACUCCGAUUCAAGCCUACCGCGUGUCUACGAAUUCGUCUCAGUACCACCUACCCAAAAAUAUCAGUCACUACCCCAAACACCUUUCGGGCAAGAAAAUGACCAAUUUACCCCUACCCUAAGGGUAAAUUCGUAAAUUCACUUAAAUAACUUAAAAUAGGAAUUAAAUUUAGAGUCGGGGUGUUACACUUAAUUUAAAUUUCGAUACACCACUUGUAGUUUUCUAUUAAAAAAUUAUAAUCUUGCUUUGGUUAUGUUUUUUUUCCUGAUUUUUGUGGUAUAAUUAAAAACUAACUUAUCAUUAAAUUGCUAUAAAUAUGAAACUAUAUAGUCAAAAUUGACGGAAUUGAAACUACAGGAUCAAAAGUGGUUGAAGUGCCAAACUAUAGGGACUAAAAGUGACUUUUAGCCAUAAUUGAAUUGCAUUAUCUUCCUCAAGUCUUCGUCUUGCAUCAAGUAUAUAUAUAUUGGACCGGACAUCAUAUUUUCCAGAUAGGGCUCAACUCCAUCACCAUCAUUUUGGGAUGAUGUGAGGUAUAUUUGAUUCUAUCUCCGCAUAAUACCAUGUACGGGCAUAUUCUUUCAAGUGAACUUGCAAAUAGCCCAAGUUUUGUUGAAAACGCGGACUCUGAAAAUUUCUAUGAUUUACAUAGAGAUAGCUCACUGGAAAUAUAUUUACUUACUCAACUACGAGAAUUGUUAAUGGCUACAUCCUCCACUCACUCCGAAAGAUUCUCACUCCAAAAGAUAGUCAUGAAGACAUCAGGAGGAGAUAUUAAUCAGGGGGAGCAUCCAGAAGUAUGCUAUACAAAUUGUUGUACUCUUCCUUCCAUCAGUUUUCUACCUCACUAGGUUUUCUCCAAGCAAGUCUUUAAUGAUGCAACUAACAUAUCACAUGUGGUCUUCAAGGGGGAGUGUUAUAAAAUAAAUGAAGCCCACAUAGGUAAAAUUAAGUGGGAAUUAGUGGAGAUAAAGCUAGUAGGUAUUAGUCAAAAGAUGGGAUAAUGAUGUUGGGGAUAAAUCAUUAUGUCUCCAUUAAGAGCCAUUUGCUUUGCCUAUAAAUAGGCAUUAUAUUUGCUUGUAAACACACAUAUAGAAGAGGAAGAGAAGUAAGAGUGAGGAAAGAAAGAAAGGAAGAGAAGGAAGAAUGAGGGUGAGUGAGUUGAGAGGAAAGAGAGCAAGAGAGGAAUUCUCCAAGAGAGAAAAUUGAGUGAGCCAUACAUAUUGUAAACACUAAAGUUGUAGCCCUAUUAUCUUACAUAGUGAAAAGUUACUAUUGCUGCUCUCCGAGGACGUAGGCAUAGCCGAACCUCGUUAAAUACUGUGUCUCAUCUACUUUACGUGCAGCUCAAUAUUCGCACAUAUCUCAGUUAUUUUACAACACGUUAUCAGCACGAGAAGCUCUCAGGUAUAAUUUUUGUGCUGCACUAUUAUUUAUACUACUAACCAUUGUAUAUAUAUAUAUGAAAAGUUGAUGGUAAUAUAAUAUGCUAUAUCUAUUCACUUUUCUAUUACUAACCACUAACAAAAAUGGACCCUUGAUAAUACUAAACAUAUUAUCAGUGGGAGACCGUUACUAAUACUAACAUUUUUCUUAUUUUAUUCGGUGGUGGUUUUAACCCCAUAUUUAUUUUAUUUACUGUAUGGUGUAGGUUUAUUACCCAUACAAGCGCGUUUACUUUAUCGCAAAUUUACUUUUACUUAAAGUAUGAUGUGGAAUUAACCCUCAUACUUUAUGAAAUUUACUUUACCGCACAUUUAUUUUAUUUACUGUAUGGUGUAGGUUUAUUACCCAUACAACAGUAUUUAUUUAAAAGGGUGGUGCGGGUUUAUCGUCCACGCCUUUACUUUUAUUUAAAUGUAUGGAGCAGAAUUAGUGCCCAUACAAGCACGUUUACUUUAUCGCAAAUUUACUUUUACUUAAAGUAUGAUGAGGAAUUAACCCUCAUACUUUAUGAAUUUACUUUACCGCACAUUUAAUUUUAUUUAAGAUAUGGUGCGGAAUUAACGUCCAUGUAGCAAGUAAUUUAUUUUAUCGCACAUUUACUUUUACUUAAAGUAUGAUGAGGAAUUAACCCUCAUACUUUAUGAAUUUACUUUACCGCACAUUUACUUUUACUUAAAGUAUGAUGAGGAAUUAACCCUCAUACUUUAUAAAUUUACUUUACCGUACAUUUACUUUUAUUUAACAUAUGGUGCGGGUUUAUCGUCCAUACAAGCAAUUCAUUUACCAAUAAUUUAAUUUACAAGCAAUUUAUUUUAUGGAUUAAUUGUGUGGUAUGAUGAGUUUUUUUUUUUACAAGGAUACAGAUCAGAACCAGAAGUUUCUUGAUCCUCAUCAUACAACUGCAUCAGGACUUGAAGAUCCUUGAUGAUGAUAUUGAUAUGAGAGCUGACAGUCUCUCCAGUACUAUAUUUGUUAACAUAUGAUCGGACUUGAGGGUCCUUGAUUCUUGAUAUGUAAAUAAGGACCUGGGGUUCCUUAAAUGAUGUAACAGUAUUAUAUUGGUUAAUAGUGUCGUACACAUGAAAAUAACUGUAUUGGCAAAUGUAUUGUAUACAUGAAUAGUGCCAUAUACAUGAAUAGUGAUGUAUGCAUAAAUAUUUACCAUUUUGGGUAAACUGUCACUAUUCAAAAAGGGAACCUGCAGUUCCUUAAACUCAUGGAUGAGCAAUUAAAUGAGAUGCCAGAAGUUCCUCAAGAUAUGGACAAUUAUGUAAGGGCUUGAAGUCUAGAAAUAUGUGCAGAAAAUUGUAAAAAUGUCCAUACCAUGAGAAUAUGUGAUUUUGGCUUGAGGUUCAAAAUCUAACAGUGUUGAGAACCUGAAGUUCCAACAAUUAAAUGGACAACCCUUGAGGUAUUAUUGCAAAUUGUGGUACGCCACAUAUUUCUUUGGCAUAAGAGAAUGAUGAAUUUAAUAAAGUUCGAUUCUGUUAUAAUCGACACCUCAAGGAAGAAAUAUAUUUUGUGAAUUCCGGUUGUUAAGAAUACACCGUGAAAUGGAUAAUAUCAGUAUAAACCUCAAAUGAUGAAUUGAGGCUUCCCACAUAUUUUGUUAUAUCUGGGCCGGAAGCACAUGGAUUCAAAUAUAUGAGAAAUCCCGAACUUGAGGUUGUGGGUAUAUAAUAGUUAAUGCUCUUCACUACUAUAUAGUGAUAUUAUCAUGGCUUUUACUCAAUUCAUAUUUCAUGUCCACUUGAAAAGGGCGAAUAAAUUCUGAGUUUGUGUUUAGCCCAGGCCAAAAGUUCCAUACGUUGAAAUAUGAAAUUUGGGAGAGUCGAUGUGGUUAUUUGAACCUAUAAGGUACAAGGUUCCAAACCGUCAUUUUGAAAAGACGUAAAAAACCACAGGUGCAAGUUUAAGAAUGUGCGUAAUUAUUAUAACAGGAACAUACAACAGAUAGAUUUUUUCCACCUGCAAUGAAGAUGCAGGCCCUGUAAAAUCUAUAAAAUUACAUUAUGUUCUGGAAGCCUCUGCAGGAAGAGGACGACGCCUCUUAAGCUUAGCCAUGAGCCUCUCAUGGUCUCCCAAAAUUCUUUCAUUGGAGACCUGCAGCAUAUCUAGCCUUCUCAGUGUAUCAACAGAGUACGAACUCACCAGUUUCAACAAUGCAUUAUUCUCUCCUUUAAGUUUCUCAACCUCCUGUUGAGACUCAUGAAGCAUUCUUUGGAGAGACGAAUUUUCAGUUGUUAAAAUCUGAACCUCGUUUGCUCUAGCACGCAAACGAUCAGCCAUGUUAGAAACAGAAGCAGCACUCUGAAUGCUAAAAGCCAUUGAGUCAUCAAUAGCCUCUUCCUCUGAUCUCCCUGCCAACAACAUUUCAUCCAUUGGAGUAAUGAAAUUCCUAGCUAUUAUGACAGCAGUAGCAUCAUUCAUCAUCACAGAAUCAUUAACUAUGAGAUGACGAUUUUGGGAUACAAAGGAUGGACGCCAAACUUUGGCGUCACUGGUUGUUGUGGGAGUAUCAUUUAAAUUGAAAUAAUUUGGGCAGGAAGAAGAGGAAGCCAUUUUUAAGAAGGUUUCGAAGAAAGUCUUAAGAAAACUAAAGUUUCAGAAAAUGAAGGAAGUUAAGUUGAAACGCAGUUGCUCCAAUCAAGUUUUGCAAAGGCAAUAUCUAUAGGAGGAAAUAUGGCUACAGUUUUUCAGGAUCCCAAUAUCUUUUCGGAUCCCCAUAUUCUCUUUUUCUUUUCCAGAUUCCAAAAUUUCAUGUGGCCUCCAUUAAUGUUUGUCGGCACUUUCGGCAUUUUCAAAGUAUUAUUUUCGUCAAAAGCCGAUCUUGCUUUGCGGAUUUCACGGAGCUAUUUUUUCAAAAGCACCCCGAGAAUCUCGCAAUUUUCUUAUGGUUAAUUUGAAAUUCACCGGUUCUACCUAUUCCUCUUAUUUGUGUAUAAAUGUGUUACUAACGAAAUUUUCUUUGCAGAAGACAUCCAGUUUUCUUCAUACCUAGUGAUGCGAUAUCUACUUAUUUUUCUUAUCAGUGAGCACUUAAUAUGCCCUAGAAGCAAGACUAUCUCUGAUCAUCCAUUCAGGAAGCGAGACUAUCCCUGAUCACGUUUCCGCCACAUCAGGGAACUGUGAAGGCAACCUUAUGCUCUAAUCUCCGGAAGUUCUUCUAGACUAGAAGAAAUGAGAGCUUGUUGUUUGCUCCCACCAGCUUCCUUCCUUGAUUGCUGAGCUUGUUGUCUGCUCCCACCAGCUUCCUUCCCUGAUUGCUUACCUUCUCUUGCAAUCAAUAUCACAUUAUUUUUGCAUUUUUUCUCUUUUUAUAACUCUCUGUUCAUAAGAGAUUUUAUUUCUUUAGAAUGAACAUCUGAAGAAAGAAUCCAUGAAGUGAUCCUAACUCUGAGGGUUAUUUGUUUUUGACAGAGAAAAGAGUUGUGAUUUUGCUCUUGCAGGAUAUAAUUAAAUCAUCAAGCGCUACAUUAUAUUUACUGGGCCGAUACAAGCUUGAAUGAUACUUGAGAAAAGUUUCUCCCACCUAAGGAUGUAAGCAAUACUUGUGUUAUUUUAUGCUUAUAUACUUAUUUGAUAUUUUAUUCUGAAAGGUAACCAAAUGGGGAGAUAAGUCUGUUCCAAAAGAAUGGCUUGUAUGUAUCCAUGAAUUAUUAAUUCAAAUUUUACAGAUUGUAAGUUGGAUACAUUGAUAAUACACUGCACAGAUUAAAGUCGCAUAAGAACAGAAUAUGGGUAUAGCAGUGAUCAAUAUGAUGCACGCCUGUUGCGUAGCAAAUGAUGUGGAUUGAAGUCCCGAAAGGACAAUCCUUUGACAUGUCAAUAUUGAUAUUGUGCACGCCUAAUGCGUAGCAAAUUAAAUGGGUUAAAGUCCCAUAAUAUGGGUUAAGGUCCCAGCAAUUAAUUGACAUGAAUGUAUUAAUCUGUGGCAUGCCUUCAGCAUGACAGAUAUAUGGGUUCUAAAUGUUCCAACUCCCUAAAUGGAGAUUAUACACGCCCUACUGCUAAAUAACGCUCCAAUGGAGGUUAUAAUCCACAUUCUCACAUAAUAAAAGCCCCAUGAAGUGGCUUAGGUACCCAAAGGCAAAUAAAUGCUUAUAAUUGAUGCAUGCGCAUGCACAUGAGAAUGGUGGGAUCAUGAAUUGAUGAAUGACAAUUUUUGAUUUUGGAGUAGCUACUCAAAUCAUCAAUGGGCUGUGUUAAUUGGAACCACGUUCAAUUAUUAAAUGUCGACAAUAUCAUUGGCCAAAAUGGAAUGAGGUAAUUCCAUUAUAGAUGAGAAUGAACGUGAAAGAACAAACCCACAGUACGAACCCCAAAAAAUGUUAAUACUGAAAUUUAUACUUGGGUGUUCGGAAUAAAAGGGAAUAUACCUACUUUGUAUGACACACUGUUUCUGGCAGAAACAAGGAAUGUUGGGUUUUUCUCCAUAUUUACAGAUUCAAUUGUGCCCCCCUUAUUACACAAUUACGGAGACCAACAUAUUAUCUUUAAGGAUUAUUAAAUGCACGGAGCAUAUCGCCAGAAGCGAUUUCCUAAAGAUGUAUAAAUAGCUGGGUAAAAGCUAUAUAAUGUGUCAUAAAGUUUAAUCCCUUUUAAACAAAAUUCGUUGAGAGGAUUGACAUUGCAUAAAGCAAGUCCCUAAAGGACAUGUGCUUGAAGCACAAAAUUUGUACUCAAUAUUAAUAUGCAUAAAUUACCUCAGUGAGUACAUUGAUUAUAAUGUGAUUGCAACACAUUAAAGCUUCUGCAGAAUUCACGAAAUAUUUGUCUCGACUUAAAAAUCGAGCAUUAUGCCAACGAGAUUCUUACUUAUACUAAGAAAGUAUUGAAGCAUUUUUAUGAGGAUUAUCCGUUGGACACUUUAAUGAUUUUCCGGAAGUAUAUUGGACCGGACAUCAUAUUUUCCAAAUAGGGCUCAACUCCAUCACCAUCAUUUUGGGAUGAUGUGAGGUAUAUUUGAUUCUAUCUCCGCAUAAUACCAUGUACGGGCAUAUUCUUUCAAUUGAACUUGCAAAUAGCCCAAGUUUUGUUGAAAACGCGGACUCUGAAAAUUUCUAUGAUUUACAUAGAGAUAGCUCACUGGAAAUAUAUUUACUUACUCAACUACGAGAAUUGUUAAUGGCUACAUCCUCCACUCACUCCGAAAGAUUCUCACUCCAAAAGAUAGUCAUGAAGACAUCAGGAGGAGAUAUUAAUCAGGGGGAGCAUCCAGAAGUAUGCUAUACAAAUUGUUGUACUCUUCCUUCCAUCAGUUUUCUACCUCACUAGGUUUUCUCCAAGCAAGUCUUUAAUGAUGCAACUAACAUAUCACAUGUGGUCUUCAAGGGGGAGUGUUAUAAAAUAAAUGAAGCCCACAUAGGUAAAAUUAAGUGGGAAUUAGUGGAGAUAAAGCUAGUAGGUAUUAGUCAAAAGAUGGGAUAAUGAUGUUGGGGAUAAAUCAUUAUGUCUCCAUUAAGAGCCAUUUGCUUUGCCUAUAAAUAGGCAUUAUAUUUGCUUGUAAACACACAUAUAGAAGAGGAAGAGAAGUAAGAGUGAGGAAAGAAAGAAAGGAAGAGAAGGAAGAAUGAGGGUGAGUGAGUUGAGAGGAAAGAGAGCAAGAGAGGAAUUCUCCAAGAGAGAAAAUUGAGUGAGCCAUACAUAUUGUAAACACUAAAGUUGUAGCCCUAUUAUCUUACAUAGUGAAAAGUUACUAUUGCUGCUCUCCGAGGACGUAGGCAUAGCCGAACCUCGUUAAAUACUGUGUCUCAUCUACUUUACGUGCCGCUCAAUAUUCGCACAUAUCUCAGUUAUUUUACAACAUUUAUCUUUAUUGAAUUGUUUACUCUAAGCCAUUGAAAUUUAAAAUAAAAUAAAAAAAUCUUUUUCUAUUCUAUUGAAUGGCAAUGAAGUUGUAGUAAUGGGUGGAUUUAUAGGAGUAUACCAAAUAGAAAAGGCAUAAAUAUUCCAAAUAAAAAUUGGUUAUUUUCUUCUGAAAAUGUAAUACUCUGAAAUCGAAAAUAUAUUUAAAAUUUUGUUGAAUUUUGUGAGCCUAGUAAAAAAAUAAUAAAAUAUUUCAAUAGAAAAAAAAAGUAAAUGAAUAAAGUUGAUUGGAUAUGCUAUGGCCCCAAUGUACUUUUGAAGCAAUUUGAGUCAACCAAAUUUGUCACGAUUGGUGGUAAAAAUUGUAACAAAAGGCAAUUGUGACGCUUCAUAUAUUACGAACUCCUAAAUCGUAACUGCAACGUAACUAAGUGUCCAUUUUGCAUUGCUUAUUUGGGGUAAUAAGUGAUUUUUUAAAAAUUUUGAGAAGCCCAACCCGUUUGAUAAAUUGUGAGAAAAUCACUUAUUAUUAAAAAUUGCUGUGAGAGAAAGCUAUAAGAGAAAGCAGCUAAUAAGGUGCUUUCAUUUUCUGAUUAUGCAGGAAUCAGUUUCGAAGAGGCGUUGGGUUUAAUGAUUAUGCGGCAAUCAUUUUCUAAUUAUGCGGAAAAUCAUUACCGACAACACUUUUAACAAAAAUUUUACCAAACGCCAAACUGCUUUCUCUCAUAGCAAAUCUAACAGCGAUUAUUUUUAUAGCACAGCAAUGCCAAACUAGCCCUAAAGGGUUUAGUCAUUGAAAAUAGUUAUUGUGGCACCACCAACAGUCACCAAAGAAGUCAUGAAAAAAAGUUACUAUUGCCUCAUUUUUUUGUAGUGUUUGUAAAUUAAUAUUCCCUAUUGUUCCGCAAACAUAACCACUGUGAAACCUUAUCAUGUUAUAAAACCAAAGAAUUUGAGAGAGAAUUUAGAUGGAGAGAAUGUAGAGAAACAGAUUUCUGUAUAUUCAUGUCUGUGUUCAUAUUUCUGUGUGUAUAUACAAUGGAAGGGUUUACACCCUUUUGUAGGCAGAGCUCCAUCCAACAAGUGGUGGAGUAGGUAAAGCUCCAUCCAACAAGUGGUGGGCUCCACCUUAUUAUUUACAACACUCCCCCUUGGAGACCACAAAUGAUAUGGAAUAUGCCUCUUUAAAAACCUUGCCAGUAAAAACUCAAUGGGACAAAAACUGGUCAAAGGGAAAAAGAGUACAUAAUCAUGUGUAACAUAAAAUUCUAUGUAUAUUGACGCGCGUGCGCGCGACACUGCCUCGUUAAAACCUUGCCAGGAAAAAUCCAGUGGGAUAAAAACCUGGACGAAGGAAAAAGAGUACGGUGUUUGAAGAUCUUUAUUGAGGGUGAGCUCCCCCCUGAUGCUUGGCAAAAUAUCUUUAAGUCAUACUGUUGAUCAGCUUUCUGAAUAUCGUAGUUGACACUGCUUCUGUGAGUCAAUCUUGAGCGACACUGCCUCGUUAAAACCUUACCAGGGAAAACCCAGUAGGAUAAAAACCUGGAUGAAGGAAAAAGAGUACAGUGUAUGGAGGUCUUUAUUAAAACCACGCUCCCCUUUGUGAAUAUCUCCCCCUGAAAAAUUUAGGACUAGCUUUUGUCCAGUAAGCGACCAUAAAAAUUUUCAUAGUAUACCCUAAACCCCUGAGCGACACUACCUCGUUAAAACCUUACCAGGAAAAAUCCAGUGGGAUAAAAACCUCGAUGAAGGAAAAAGAGUACAGUGUAGAGCUGAGCUCUAUCUGGUCUAGUAUACUUCCGGAAAAACAUUUAAGGACCAACGGAUAAGACUCAUAAAAAUGCUUCAAUACUUUCUUAGUAUAAGCAAGAAUCUCGUUGGCAUAAUGCUCGAUCGAGACAAAUAUUUCGUGAAUUCUGCAGAUGUUUUAAUGUGUUGCAAUCACAUUAUAAUCAAUGUACUCACUGAGGUAAUUUAUGCAUAUUAAUAUUGAGCACAAAUUUUGUGCUUCAAGCACAUGUCCUUUAGGGACUUGCCUUUUGCAAUGUCAAUCCUCUCAACGGAUUUUGUCUAAAAGGGAUUAAACUUUAUGACACAUUAUAUAGCUUUAACCCAGCUAUUUAUACAUCUUUAGGAAAUCGCUUCUGACGAUAUGCUCCGUGCAUUUAAUAACCCUUAAAGAUAAUAUGUUGGUCUCCGUAAUUGUGUAAUAAGGGGUGCACAAUUGAAUCUGUAAAUAUGGAGAAAAACCCAACAUUCCUUGUUUCUGCCAGAAACAGUGUGUCAUACAAAGCAGGUAUAUUCCCUUUUAUUCCGAACACCCAAGUAUAAAUUUCAGUAUUAACAUCUUUUGGGGUUCGUAUUGUGGGUUUGUUCUUUCACGUUCAUUCUCAUCUAUAAUGGAAUUACCUCAUUCCAUUUUGGCCAAUAAUAUUGUCGACAUUUAAUAAUUGAACGUGGUUCCAAUCAACACAGCCCAUUGAUGAUUUGAGUAGCUACUCCAAAACCAAAAAUUGUCAUUCAUCAAUUCAUGAUCAAAAAUUGUCAUUCAUCAAUUCAUGAUCCCACCAUUCUCAUUUGCAUGCGCAUGCAUCAAUUAUAAGCAUUUCUUUGCUUUUGGGUACCCAAGCCACUUCAGGGGGCUUUUAUUAUGUGAGAAUGUGGAUUAUAAUCUCCAAUGGAGCGUUAUUUUACAUAGGGCGUGGAAAAUCUCCAUUUAGGGAGUUGGAACAUUUAGAACCCAUAUAUCUGUCAUGCUGAAGGCAUGCCACAGAUUAAUACAUUCAUGUCAAUUAAUUGAUGGGACCUUAACCCAUAUUAUGGGACUUUAACCCAUAUAAUUUACUACGCAUUAGGCGUGCAUAAUAUCAAUAUUGACAUGUCAAAAGAUUGUCUUUUCGGGACUUCAAUCGACAUCAUUUGCUACGCAACAGGCGUGCAUCAUAUUGAUCACUGCUAUACCCAUAUUCUAUUCUUAUGGGACUUUAAUCUGUGCAGUGUAUUAUCAAUGUAUCCAACUUGCAAUCUGUAAAAUUUGCAUUAAUAAUUCAUGGAUACAUACAAGCCAUUUUGGAACAGACUUAUCUCCCCAUUUGGUUACCUUUCAAGAUAAAAUAUCAAAUAAGUAUAUAAGCAUAAAAAUAACACAAGUAUGGCUUACAUUCUAGUUGGGAGAAAUUUUUCUCAAGUAUCAUUCAAGCUCGUAUCGGCCUAGUAAAUAUAACGUAGCGCUUGAUGAUCUAGUUUUAUCCUGUAAGAGCAAAAUCACAACUCUUUUCUCUGUCAAAAAUAAAUAACCCUCAGAGAGUUACAAAAAGAGAAAAAAUGCAAAAAAAAAAUGUCAUAUUGAUUGCAAGAGAAGGUAAGCAAUCAAGGAAGGAAGCUGGUCAACAAGCUCUCAUUUCUCCUAGUCUAGAAGGACCUCAGGAGAUUAGAGCAUAAGGUCGCCUUCACAGUUUCCGGAUGUAGCGGAAACGUGAUCAGGGAUAGUCUCGCUUCCUGAAUGGAUGAUCAGAGAUAGUCUUGCUUCUCGGGCAUAUUAAAUGCUCACUGAUAAGAAAAACAAGUAGAUAUCGCAUCACUAGGUAUGGAGAAAACUAGAUGUAUUCUGCAAAGAAAAUUUCGUUAGUAACACAUUUAUACACAAAUACAAUGAAUAGGUAGAACCGGUGAAUUUCAAAUUAACCAUAAGAAAAUUGCGAGAUUCUCGGGGUACUUUUGAAAAAGUAGCUCCGUGAAAUCCGUAAAGCAAGAUCGACUUUUGAUGAAAAUAAUACUUUGAAAACGCCGAAAGUGCCGACAGGCAUUAUCAGAGGCCACGUGAAGUUUUGGACUCUGGGAAAGAAAAAGAUAAUAUGGGGAUCUGAGAUAAUAUUGGGAUCCUGGAAACUGUAGCCAUAUUUCCUCCUAUAGAUAUGGCCUUUGCAAAACUUGAUUGGAGCAACUGCGUUUCAACUUGCUCCUUUCCUAUUAUAAUAAUUGCGCACAUUAUUAAAAUUUGCACCUGUGGUUUUUACAUCUUUUCAAAAUGACGGUUUGGAACCUUGUGCCUUAUAGGUUCAAAUAACCACAUCGACUCUCCCAAAUUUCAUAUUUCAACGUAUGGGAGUCCGGAACUUUUGGCCUGGGCUAAACACAAAACUCAGAAUUUAUUUGCCCUUUUCAAAAUGGACAUGAAAUAUGAAUUGAGUAAAAGUCACGCUAAUAUCUCAUAUAUUUGGGUUCAUGAGCUUCCAGCCCAGAUAUAACAAAAUACGUGGAGAGCCUCAAUUCAUCAUUCUUUUAUGCCAAAGAGAUAUGUGGCGUACCACAAUUUGCAAUAAUACCUCAAGGGUUGUCCAUUUAAUUGUUGGAACUUCAGGUUCUCAACACUGUUAGAUUUUGAACUUCUGGCCAAAAUCACAUAUUCUCAUGGUAUGGACAUUCAAUCCCCUUAGAUUUUGAACUUCGGGCCAAAAUCACAUAUUCUCAUGGUAUGGACAUUUUUACAAUUUUCUGUACAUAUUUCUGGACUUCAAGCCCUUACAUAAUUGUCCAUAUUUUGAGGAACUUCUGGCAUCUCAUUUAAUUGCUCAUCCAUGAGUUUAAGGAACUGCAGGUUCCCUUUUGAAUGGUGAUAGUUUGCCCAAAAUGGGAAAUAUUUAUGCAUACAUCACUAUUCAUGUAUACAGCACUAUACAUGUGUACAGUACAUUUGCCAGUACAGUUAUCAUCCAUAUGUACGGCAUUAUGAACCAAUACGGUACUGUUACAUCAUUAAGGAACCCCAGGUCCUUAUUUACAUGUCAGGGAUCAAGGACCCUCAAGUCCGAUCACAUGUUUUACAAAUAUAGUACCGGAGAGACUGCCAGCUCUCAAAUUAACAUCAUCAUCAAGGAUCUUCAAGUCCUGAUGUAAUUGUAUGAUGAGGAUCAAGGAACUUCUGGUCCUGAUCUAUAUACUGUAAAAAAAUUCAUCAUACAGCACAUUUAGUCCAUAAAAUAAAUUGUUGGUAAAUAAAUUACUGGUAUGGACGAUAAACCCGCACCAUACAUUUAAAUAAAAGUAAAGGCGUGGACGAUAAACCCGCACCACCCUUUUAAAUAAAUGUAAAUGUGCGGUAAAGUAAAUUUAUAAAUUAAAUUGCUUGCUGUAUGGACGUUAAUCCCGCACCAUACUUUAAAUGAAAUUAAAUGUGCGGUAAAGUAAAUUCAUAAAUUAAAUUGCUUGUUGUAUGGACGUUAAUCCCGCACCAUACUUUAAAUAAAAUUAAAUGUGCGGUAAAUUAAAUUCAUAAAUUAAAUUGCUUGCUGUAUGGACGUUAAUCCCGCACCAUACUUUAAAUAAAAUUGAAUUUGCGGUAAAUUAAACGUGCUUGUAUGGGCACUAAUUCUGCUCCAUACAUUUAAAUAAAAUUAAAAGCGUGGACGAUAAACCCGCACCACCCUUUUAAAUAAAUACUGUUGUAUGGGUAAUAAACCUACACCAUACAGUAAAUAAAAUAAAUAUGGGGUUAAAAAUCACCACCGAAUAAAAUAAGAUAAAUGUUAGUAUUAGUAACGGUCUCCCACUGAUAAUAUGUUUAGUAUUACCAAGGGUCCAUUUUUGUUAAUGGUUAGUAAAAGAAAAGCAGAUAAAUAUAAUAAGAAAUAAUAGGGAAGAUAAGGGAGCAGAAAUCUUAUCGCUUAUUCUUUCGCUUAUGCCCUUGCUAAGUGAUCCCUUUUUUUUUUUUUUUUUUAAUUUUAAUUAUUAUUAUUAUUAUUAAUUUUGCUUUCUUUCGGUGGAUUUUGUUUGGUGCAGACACAGCGUGCCAGCUUUCCCUUAUUUUCAAACGACAGCAUAUUCGUGGGUGGGGGGCUGUGAUCAUGCGUACCCAUAUUCUCUACCUGUCUCUCUCUCUCUCUCAGCCAUAGCCAACUUUUUGUCCAGCUUUGCAGAGAGCUCGCUCACUUGGAUCUGUAGCUCCCUUGGAAAACUUUUAGAUGGGCUGAUCUGCAUGGCUCCACAAUCAAGCUUAUGGAUCCAUAGUGGAACACCUUAGCGGAUUUGAUGAGCUCGAUGGAGGAUUGGCCAUCCCCGAACGUCUCGGCCGAUCCGAAAUCGGCGAUCCAGAGCCGGUCCCGACCGUCGAACAAGGUGUUGUCCGACUUGAUGUCCCGGUGAGCCACGUCGAGGCGGAGGCAGUGCGCAACGGCGAGCAUGAGCUGAGCCAUGACCGAGGCUGCCUCGGGCUCGGAGAAGUCUCCUAGAGUGACUCGGCGGUGGAGAUCGGGUGCAUCACAGAGCUCAAGAACGUAGCGCCGGUGACCAUGACGACCUUGCCGUGGAGGUGGCGCCAUGGCUCGAGGUGGUCCGCGACUUGGUUCGCCAUAUCGGGCGCAUCACAGAGCUCAAGAACGAAGCGCCGGUGACCAUGACGACCUUGCCGUGGAGGUGGCGCCAUGGCUCGAGGUGGUUCGCGACUUGGUUCGCCAUAUCGGGCGCAUCACGGAGCUCAAGAACGAAGCGCCGGUGACCAUGACGACCUUGCCGUGGAGGUGGCGCCAUGGCUCGAGGUGGUCCGCGACUUGGUUCGCCUUACUUACUCUCAGUAUGUAGAAAACACAAGGGAACCAGCUUAAAGAAGUUUAUUCUGAGCAACAGCCUGACAUAAUUCGUCCUCAUAGAACAAAACUCUAUUCGAAGCCAAUGAUUUGCAGAGGGGCUUUGGUAAGACAGAAGGGACCAUGCAUCUUGCAGGGAAGUUUGACUCCUGGAAGAGAACUGCUGCAACCUGCCGCAUUUCAGAGACUUUGAGGCGAGAUGGUGGUCGGGGACCAUGCCUUGGUGCUUUUGGAGUAUGGGGGCUUCGAAUGAAUAUGCCUUUCCCAUCUCCCUUGCUGCAAAAAGUCAUGUAAAACUCGGUAAAAUAAGAAACCUAUCUGACAGGGUAAAUAGUGAUAUUAUCCAGAAAACAUUAAAUAAGCAUUUGUUUUAAAUUCAGAGUUUCAUUUCUUUGCAGAUUUCUCAGCCUGCCCAUUGAACUCCACACGAGCAGAAGAGGGCUUAUGAUUCCGAGGCACGUAGAAUUCGUGGCAAGAAAGCCAAGGUUAAUUUCCCUGAUGAUGGAUCUUGAAGGCCUUGUGAGACUGGGAGUGAUUGGCUUGCGGGUAAGGUUGGAAAAUCUGAAGCAAGUUGCUGUUGGCUCUGUUUUGAAGAACUCUGCAAAAUUUGAGCUCAAGAAGAAAUCAGAGAGGAAAACAGAGAGAAAGAGAGUGUAUCAGUUGUGUUUUUCUGACUGGGUUUCAUCAUAAAAUUCAGCUGGUAUUGUUUGAACGAAAUCGUGCUGAUAACGUGUUAUAAAACCAAAGAAUUUGAAAGAGAAUUUAGAUGGAGAGAAUGUAGAGAAACAGAUUUCUGUAUAUUCAUGUCUGUGUUCAUAUUUCUGUGUGUAUAUACAAUGGAAGGGUUUACACCCUUUUGUAGGCAGAGCUCCAUCCAACAAGUGGUGGAGUAGGUAAAGCUCCAUCCAACAAGUGGUGGGCUCCACCUUAUUAUUUACAACAUAUCAUUAUAUUUUCUUACUUUUUUGUCUAUAUAUAUAUAGACACACACUAUGAUAGAGAAUGUUGAUCUUGUACGGUCAAUAGACAAUCUGUACAUUGCCACAUAUAAUUCUAAAGCCUCCUCAUGCUGAUGAUUUUGAAUGUAACCCAAGAUCAUGGCAUUCCAUAUUACAAGAUUCUUUUCCCCUUUCGUUUUCUUUGAAAAGUUGUAGGUAACUAUUUUUAUUUUUGUUCACCCUAUGGUAGAGGUAUAGUAUAUACUUUUGUAUAAAUUAUCCUAUGGUGUAGGUAUAUUGUCAUAUUGCCUAUUGCAGAGGUAUAUAUAUGUGCUUUUCAUAUUUUGGACAAUGAAUAUUAGUAUUUUAUGUACAUUUAUUUUAUAGGCAACAUGCAAUUUUAUUUGUCUAUUUUUGUAUCUGACUUAGGUAGUCUUCACAUAUAUGUUCCUAACUUAUAGGUAGUAUUCUAAUUUAUGUUCAUAACCUAUAGGUAACACGAUUUAUUACUAAGUUUUUUUUCGUUGCUAAUAAGAACACUAUUUACGUGUAUGUUAGAUACAAUGUGGGUGCUUGCCUAAUUGAUUAGUAUAAUAUGUGGGCCUUUACAUUCAUUGAUUAAUUUGUAUUUUACCCAUAUAUUAGUUAAAUAUUAUCAAUGAAAGAAUUUCAAAUUUAAAUUCUGAAAUUUAAUUACAAGUAAAUAAUUCAUUAAAUUUAGAUUUUCAAUGUUUUCAUUAUUUACCUCCAAGGGUAAAAUCGACACAAUAAAAAGAGUAAUAAAAGUCAAGGACCUACCUCUAAAACCAAAAACGCGUGGACUAAUUAACCUACUGGCAGCUAAUCGUUUUGGACCUAGCUCCACCAAUGAUCAUUAUUCAUGAUACAUCUAUGGAAACAAAAACAAAAUUACAAAAAUACAAAAAAAAAAUGGAAAUCCUUUAACCAUUUAAUUAUUCUGGUGAAUAUUUUCAUUGUUUAUAGGAAAUGUUGUGUGUAUCUAUUUAUGUGAUCAUAGUUGGAUAGCUGAAUGUUGUCAAAUGUGGCUAAUUGUUUGUAGUGUUAGAAGCUUUUGUAUGUGAAGUUGUUAAGAGCAUCCAAGGUGCACAACACACUUUUUUUUUAAUAAAUAAAUCUCGAUAAAAAUUAGACCUCCAUUAAAAAAAAUUUGGGUUCGUCAAUGAAUGCAGGUAUAGAACAUCCAAGCCAAUUUAGCCAAAUCUACUAUCCGACAUGGGUUUCUUAUUAGUUGAAAGAAGGAAAGGACAUACAAAUAGGAGAUGAUGCAACAAAUGAGGAAAAGAAGAUUGUAAAGCAGAUGAUGAUGGUAGCAUUAUGGUGCGUACAAAUGAGGCCCAGUGAACACCCUUCAAUGAAUAAAGUAGUGGAGAUGCUCAAAGGACACAUUGAGAACCUUCAAAUGCCUCGAAGGCCUUCCUUAUAUCCACAACAAACUCCUGCAGAUGAAGUUGGUGGGGACAAUACAAGUCCCAGUGCAUCAAGUGGUUCAAAAUUUGAAGAGAUUAGUUUGGUUGCAAUGCAAAUUAAGUGUUUUAAUAUUAGUCACGAUGUGGCUGUAUGUAAGGGAAAUUUAGCAGCUCUACUUAAGGGCCAGUUAUAAACAUGUUUUUCAUAUUUGAUCAUAGCACAAAUAUUUUUAAUUUACAUGUAAUUGAGUUAAGCAAAUAAUUAGCCUCCGCCUUUGGUUAUUGGUAGCUAUGUUGAUGUGCAAAGUGUAAGUCUUUACUAAACUUUUAUACAAUAAUACUAACCUUGUUCAGCCAUUGUAGCAGUAGAGUAUCUUGAUUUCGUCUAGAGAGUCUUCUACCCUAUGCAGCACUUUAGUUUCUCUUUCUCUUAGAUAGGGUGAGAUCUGAUUUGAGAGGGUGUUUGCUGCAAGGGGAGGGACCUCUAUUUAUAUGUGCAUCACUCAUAAAGCUUUGCCUAUCAAGAAGCGUUUGAGUGUCCUUUUUGCAUUAGAAUAGGUUUGUUUCAAUCCAUGUUAUAUUAGGAAUCCUGAUAAUACUUGUGUUUAACUUUAAUAAGCUUUGUACAAGUAUUAUCUCAUAAGGAUUGAGUUCUAUUUCCUGAUCAAACCAAAACUCGAAUCCUCUUGGGAUCAGAAGAUCAUCUUUUAUGGGCUGAGACAAUAAAUCGUCUUACAUUCUCCCACUUGAUCGAUUAAUCCCAAAGUUUUGUGUUGAUCACUUAAGGCCUUUGUGAAAUAUAACUCAAACUGAUUCCAUCAAGCAAUUGUCAACUUUAAAGAAUGAAAAGGAACCAUCAAGACUUCACUGGAUAUCUAAUGCUCCAGGGUCUUUAUAAUUACAUUAAUCAUUCUUUAAAACCACAUAAGCUUCCAUCAAGAUUAAACAGAAAAAUAAACAUGUUCUACUGGAAAGCUUUAUGAACAUGUUCAUUCAAUGUCCCUUUAAUUUGACUACUAAGGUCUUAUCACUUUUAAAUGAUAUCCUGUCAUGAAUGAAAACCAUAUGCAGAUAUCUUUAGCUAGCUUUCUGCUUAAUUCAUUCAAGUAUUUAUAAGCAUAUACAUAUAUAACAUUUAAGCAUGUAAACUGUUUUAAUGAGAAAACUUUAUUUUUGAAUCACAAAAUAAAAUAAACAUCCAUCGAAACCAUAACCAACUGUGAAUUAAAGCUAUAACAGAAAACUACUCAAAACUUAACAAGGCUCCCACUGAUUUAAGCAUUCAAAUCAUUCCUUAAUCCCAUGCUCAUAACAUGCCUGUGAAACACUGCAUUUGGGAUUCCUUUUGUGAGAGGGUCUGCAAUCAUUCUGUCUGUACUGAUAUGACUUAUAUUAGUAUAGCCUUGAGCAAUUUUCUCCUUCACAAUUAUGAACUUGACAUCCAACAGUCUCGAACCCUUUGUUCUUUUGUUUCCUUUUGCAAACAAAACUGCUGCACUGUUGUCAUUCCAUAUUUGAAUUGGUCUGUGUAUUGAUUCAACCACAUUCAAGCUGAUGAUGAAAUUUCUUAACCAUAUGGCUUGAGAGGUAGCUUCAUAGCAUGCUAGAAACUCAGCAAACAUAGUUGAACCUGCUGUCAGAGGUUGUUUUACACUUCUCCACGACACUGCACCUUCGCCAAACAUAAACACAAAACCUGAUGUAGAUUUUAAGGAGUCUUGACAUCCUGCAAAAUCAGCAUCUGCAUAACCUUGUAAUUCCAGUGUAUCACUUCUUUUGAAUGUCAGCUUGUAAUCUUUUGUCCUUUGCAAAUAUCUUAACACUCUUUUCCCUGCAAUCCAGUGAGCUUGUCCAGGAUUAGAUUGAAAUCUUCCUAGCACACUGACUGCAAAGGCCAAGUCAGGUCUGGUACAAACCUGCGCAUACAUUAAGCUUCCAACUAGUGAAGCAUAUGGUUUAUCAACCAUUUCCAGCUUUUCUUGCUCAGUCUUAGGUGCUUGUUCAGUGCUCAGUUUAUCCCCUUUUGAGAUAGGAAUGUCACUUCCUGUGCAGUUUUGCAUAUUGAAUCUCUUGAGCACCUUUUCUAUGUAGGAUUUUUGUGAUAGUCCAAGUACCCCAUUCUUUCGAUCUCUGCUUAUAUCUAUGCCUAAAACAUAUGAUGCCUCAGCUAGAUCAGUCAUUUCAAAAUUCUUAGAUAGGAAAUUCUUGCAGUCAUGUAGCAUGGUGAGGUUUGUGCAUGCUAGUAGAAUGUCAUCCACAUACAGAACUAGUACAAUGAAAUGUCUCCCACUCAUCUUCAUGUAUAUGCAUUCAUCUAAAACAUUCUCAACAAAACCAAAAUCUUUCACUACUUUAUUGAACUUUAGGUACCACUGUCUAGAGGCUUGUUUUAAUCCAUAGAUUGAUUUGCAUAGCUUGCAGACCAAACUUUUUCCCCCUUCUUGAACAAAACCUUCAGGUUGUACCAUGUAUAUGUCUUCUUCCAAAUCUCCAUUUAGAAAAGCUGUUUUGACAUCCAUCUGGUGCAAGUGGAGGUCAAAAUGUGCUACAAGGGCCAUAAUAACCCUUAAUGAAUCUUUGGUUGAGACUGGUGAGAAAGUCUCAUUAAAAUCUAUUCCUUCUUUCUGUGUGAAUCCCUUUGCAACCAACCUUGCCUUAUACCUGUCUAUCUGUCCUUUUGAGUCCAAUUUUGUUUUAUAUACGUACCCACUUACAACCAAUUGGCUUGCAACCCUGGGGUAAAGUUACAAGCUUCCAGACUCCAUUUUUCUCCAUUGAAUUCAGUUAUGAUUUCAUUGCUGCAAACCAGUUUUCUCUCUUUUCACUUGUCAUGGCCUGUUUAAAGGUUGCAGGAUCUUCUAAGAUAUUCACAUCAUGUUCUGCUCCCUGCAAGUACACAAAAUAAUCAUCUCCUAAAGCAGGUUUUCUUUGCCUUUGUGAUCUUCUUAGUUCCACGUUGGGUUCUAGAUUUUCUACUUCAGGUGCUUGAGCCAUGACUUGGUUUUCUGCUGGCAGUGCUUGAUCGUCAUUUAAUUCCAUUGGUUCUGUAAUUUCAAGUCCAUUUGUAUUGAUCUCCUCAAUGUGUCCCAGUUGAGUAUUGCUUGAAUCAAUUUGAGGUAGUCUGACAAUAUCUUCAUUCGAAAUCUGUGGCAUGUCAUGGUUCAAGGUUAUUUCUUCAAAACUGAAACUUUCUUCCUCAUCUCUUUCUUGGUCAGUUUCUAUAAAGACUGCUCUUGAGGUUUCUAUGAAUCUGCUAGUGUGUUUGGGGCAAUAAAAUCUAUAUCCCUUUGUUCUUUCAGGAUAGCCAACAAAAUAACCACUUAUGGUUUUUGGAUCCAACUUCUUUUCUACAGGAUUGUAAGGUUUUGCUUCUGCUUUACAACCCCAUACUCGCAGAUGUUUAAUGCUAGGCUUCCUUCCAUUCCACACUUCAUAGGGGAUUCUAUUUAUGCUUUUGGUUGGAGUUCUAUUUAGAAUGUAAUUUGCUGUUUUUAAGGCUUCUGCCCAAAGAAAAAUUGGUAAAUUUGUACAGCUCAUCAUGCUUCUUAUCAUGUCUUUCAAGGUCCUAUUUCUUCUUUCUGAAAUUCCAUUUUGCUGAGGUGUACCUGGGUUGGUAUACUGAGCUAUGAUUCCUUCUUCUUGAAGAAAUUUAGCAAAAGGUCCAGGAUUUCUUCCAGUCUCAUCAAACCUUCCAUAGUACUCUCCUCCUCUAUCCGAUCGAACCACCUUUAUUUUCAAGUUCAACUGGUUUUCUACUUUAGCCUUAUAAAUUUUGAACUUGUCCAAUGCGCUGGAUUUCUCUUUAAUAAGAUAGAUAUAUCCAUAUCUUGAAAAAUCAUCUGUAAAGGUUAUAAAGUAGUUAAACCCUUCAUGAGUUGGAUUUGGAAAAGGUCCACAUAUGUCUGUGUGAAUGAGCUCUAAUAAACCUUUUCUCCCCAAUGCCCCUUUCUUUCUUAAGUUGGUUAAUUUCCCUUUGAUACAUGGAAUGCAAACUUCAUCUAUGUUUUCGUGAUUCAAUGGUGGUAAGACAGAUUCUUUGCACAGUUGUGUUAUCCUUUCUUUUGAAACAUGUCCAAGUCUCUUAUGCCAUAAUUUGAAGGAAAUCUCAUUGGUUUUAGUUUGCACAAUGUUUAUUUCCAUUUCAGUUCUUUUACAGUUUAACCGAAACAUUCCAUCAAUGAGACUUGCUUUGCCAACUAAAUCUUUAUUUCUGAAAAUAGAACAACCAGUUCCAUCAAAAUUCAAACUGAACUUUGAUUUUACAAGUCUAGUAACUGAAAUCAAACUCUUCUUCAUAGAAGGAACAUAAACUACUUCAUCUAAUUCCAAAACAAAACCAAAUUCUAGCUUGAUUCUAACUGUCCCUAUGUAAUUAACUUGGACUUCUUCUCCAUUUCCCACGAACACCUUCACUUCAUCCUUGCUUGGCAGCCUCUUGCUUGUAAACUCCUGCAAGGAAUUAGCCACAUGAAUAGAAGCACCACUAUCUAACCACCAUGAAUCACACGAGAAAUUAACCAAAUUAGAUUCAAAACAGACCAAAUCAGAUUGUUAUUACCUUUUCCCUUCUUCUUUUCCAGCCACCUUUUGUAUUUCCUGCAGUCUCUUUUCAUAUGCCCAGCUUUCUUGCAAAAGAAACAACCCAAUCCAGUUGUAGGUUUUAAAGCCUUUUCUGUAAUGCUCUCUUUUUCUUUCCCAGUUGCAGUCUUAUACUUAUUUUCCUUGUUCUGUUUAGUCUGAACCAUGUUGACCAUUUUGGCUCCCCUUUCUCUUAUGAUGUUGUGUUCUUGUUGGACAGAAAUAGUAAUAAGAUCAUUCAAAGUCCAGUUCUCCUUCUGAGCAAUAUAGGUUUCCUUGAGAGAUUUAAAUUCUUUAGGCAAUGAAUUUAGUGCAAAAUGGACCAUCAUAUCUUCAUCUACUGUCAUAUCCAAUUCCUGUAAUUUUGUCCCUAAGUCAAUCAAGUUCAUGAUAUGAGCUCUCACACAACCUUGCCCAUCAUAUUUCAUAUCAAUCAAUUGAUUCAGCAAGGUACUCUUGACAGCUUUUUCAGAUUCCUUAAACCUCUGUGCAAUUGCCUCAUAGUAUUGCUGUGCAUUCUUAGAUUUAGGAAUACUUCCUUUCACUGAUGAAGACAUAGCCCUUUGCAUGAUUAACAUAGCCAUCUUGUUUGCCUUUUCCCAUUUGGCAAACUUAGUCUUAGUUUCUGCAGAAGCAUCUGCAGCUGGUUCUUGAGGAGGUUUCUCUUUGAGCACAAAAUCGUAAUCCAGAAAGCCUAGAGAUAUUUCCAGAUCCUGUUUCCACUUGCCAUAAUUCGAUCCAGUCAAGGUUUCGAUGGAGUUGUGAUUCACUGUAAAAUUUGCAGUACAAAUUAAAUAAAACUGUCCCUAAAUCUUUACUUAAACAUGUCAACUUAUACCUGUGGGUUUAAGUUUAACGUGUUCCAAAACCCUAAACGGUUAACUGUACAGGCUUCCUGCGCAAGUAACUCACAUCUGUGGAUGUAAAGAUACUUACAAGCCAGUGCAACUAACUGUCCAGAUUGUUCCAUCAGUGGCGAUCAAUCUGUACAAUUUCCAUCUGUGGAUGGAGAAUCAUAUAGAAGGCUACAAACACUGAUGCAAUUUUCUGACCAAACUGUCAAAUUCAAGAACUCCUACACAACCUGAGCAGCUGUGGCUUACUCACUCUGCAUAGCAGUUUUCAAAUUAUUGGUCAAAACUUUAUGAGCAGAGAUAACCUUAUGCUCUUAACAGUUAAGAUUUUUAAAAGAAGGAAAAACUGCAUACUUUUAUAGCUUAUGAUCAAAUGGUUAGAUUAAAGGACAAAAGCCUAGAGCUCUGAUACCACAUGUAAGUCUUUACUAAACUUUUAUACAAUAAUACUAACCUUGUUCAACCAUUGUAGCAGUAGAGUAUCUUGAUUUCGUCUAGAGAGUCUUCUACCCUAUGCAGCACUUUAGUUUCUCUUUCUCUUAGAUAGGGUGAGAUCUGAUUUGAGAGGGUGUUUGCUGCAAGGGGAGGGACCUCUAUUUAUAUGUGCAUCACUCAUAAAGCUUUGCCUAUCAAGAAGCGUUUGAGUGUCCUUUUUGCAUUAGAAUAGGUUUGUUUCAAUCCAUGUUAUAUUAGGAAUCCUGAUAAUACUUGUGUUUAACUUUAAUAAGCUUUGUACAAGUAUUAUCUCAUAAGGAUUGAGUUCUAUUUCCUGAUCAAACCAAAACUCGAAUCCUCUUGGGAUCAGAAGAUCAUCUUUUAUGGGCUGAGACAAUAAAUCGUCUUACACAAAGAACAGGAUAGACAUUGUUUGAGAAAAUGCCAAUGGAACUUGAAGCUAUUAGAAGAAGCAUAGGCUUUGUUUGAGAAAAUGCCUGCCAUUUAGGAAUGCAAUGUAAGGUCCUUCUAGCAAUAGUGAGAAUGAAAAAUACGAACAAUGGAAAAUAAGGUGUUGAGAUUUUGACCCCAAAAAAAAGAAGGUGUUGAGACCAAAGCAAAGGCAUAUAGACUGAGAGGAAAGUUUGUAUCAACGGCAACGUUGAAAGCAGGCAGCUCAGCUUGUAUCCUGCCCUAUCCUCUGUUUUCAUCUUAAACCUUGUUAAGUUUCAGUUUUGCGGACAGAGCUACUAUGUUUGCCUGUGCCAUCAAUAAUGGAAACCAACCUUCUGCCCUGUACGUCAAAUAAUCUCAAUAUUUGAAUCUACUUCUACCGAGUACAGACCCCAGAGCAAGCUACAGACUUGGAUUGAUAAUGGCCAGUGAGUUUGAAGACAGUGCUAUUAAAAUUAAAAGUUACACUCUCAUUCCAUGCACAGCUCUGUUAUUAGAUCAUUGAUCCCAUUCAUUUUCAAAUCCGUUAGCAUCGGCAAGCCUAGAUGUGCUAACCAACUACUCGUCAAGUGGAUUCAUAGACUUCAAUAACCAAAGUAGAAACAAGCAUGAGACAGAUGUUCCUAAGCAAGUGCUCUGUUUCUACUAAAUAAUGUUACCUUCAUCCUCCUUCAAAGUCAGAUGAGCUCUACUUGCCGUUACUAUUAAUAUAUAUUGUGUUAAUUAAUCUCUACUAAUAAUUAGUCUAUUAUGCAACCAACAAAAACAAAUAAUUAAAUAUUAAAAUAUUUAUUGGGCCGGCCUAACCCAGCCCAACUAACCCAAUGUAGCUCAAACUAGCCAAACAAAGUUCUACCAAACAAGUUCAAGCCCUAAUGGCUCUGUCUGUGUGGGCAGGCUUGGGCCGAAGUACUAAAACUCAUACCCAAUCCAAAUUAGCCUAAAGAAAUGCUUAAAUCAUAAAAGCUCAACGCGGCCCAAUGAUUAAAGGUCAUACGAUCCACUUUCCAUCAAUAAUUGAACUCUCUCUCCCUCUUCAAUGUAUUUAUUUGUCUAGCAUUUUUUUUUCCUUGAAAGUAAUAGAUUUCAAUGCAAUUGAAUGGGGUAUCUUUUACUCCAAGCUACAUCAAAAGGCCAAAAGUUAAUUUUAACUGAAUUAUUGGAGCAUUAAAAUUUUACAUUUUCUCAUAACACUUCUUUUCCUGAGCUCUUUUUAAGACCUUUCCUAUUCAUAAGAACAAUAGUACUAAACUCACACACACUAUAUGAAUGCUAUGAUUCGAACCCAAAACCUUAUAUGGAAAGCAAUUACUUCAAAUCACUACACUAAGGGAAAAACAAGCUUUGUGUUUUUGUGUAACCUAGGUGGCUCUUCGAUGUUGAAGUUUUUAGCUCAAGAAAUCCAAUCACCAUUGAAACCCCAUUAGUUUUUUCUUACUUUUUUUUUUUUUUUAUAAAUAAUUUAAAUAAAGAUAAAAGGUAACAUGUUUUAUCAUUAAAUAUAUAUGUGGGACUCAAAUUGCUUUCAUAAAGUCCCGACUUGAGGAGUGGGUUUGAGAGAAGAGCCAGUUGUCCAUUGUGGAACAAUUGUUGAAUUCUCAUUGCACUUUCUUGGUUUGUUUUUUCUUCUGUCCUUUUUUUGUUUGGGAAUAGGAUGAGAACAAUCAGACAUUAUUUUCUUUCCGUGUGCGUGGUGUUGUGGUGAGGAAAUAUACCAUACAAGAUGGUCAAAGUCUUCCUCUACGUUACCUGCUUCACUAGACUUAAAAAAAUCUUCUUUUUGGAAAUUUCAUUAGUCUUCAGAAAUUCUCUUUCACGUUUAGGGAGAGAAUGGUCUAUUCGCUUAAAAAUAAUAUAUAAAUUAAUUUAUCCUCAAGUUGAUGGGAGUGACCAGAAUAAUUUAUUUUGAGAUAUAAAUUCAAUGGCUCCAUGCUUAACUAGGUUUGUAGGCUAAUAAGAAAAAAUUAACCACAUCGAAAAUCGUUUCUUCAUUAAAUAAUUAUUAUCUUGAAUUUUUUUUAUUGUUUAUAGAAGUACUGGGUUCGUCUAAUUUUUUUUUUACCACAAUUAGAUGACUGAUGACUAAUGACUAUGUCUAAUUUUUGCCACAAACGUUUUCUCUUCUAAAAUACUAUUUAUUAAUACUUAGUACAUACAUACUAUGACUAUGACUUUCAAUUUAACAUUUUGAGGAUGCCCAACCACCAUUGAAACCUCAUGAGAACCACAUAACAUGGUUUUGCUUUCUGUUGAUUUUUGUUGAGUUCAAUUCUAGUGGGAGUGACAAGAUGUUACGCAAUAGAUAAGUACCUCUCAUAACAACUGUGUUUGAAUAUUAGUCAAUAGUUUUGAGCACAUACUUGGUAUCUUCUGCACCUUUGAGUUUAGCAGAAAGAAUCGUGUAUUCCCUUGAAAACAAUAUAUAGACUAAUUUGUUGUCAUGUUGAUGGGAGUGGACCAAGAAAUUUUAUUUGGAGAUAUAUAUAAACUCAAGGGCUAUAUGCUUAAGCCGAUUUGUGGGCUAAUAAGAAAAAAAAUUAGUCUGUUAUUUUUUUAUUGCACUUAGAUGUCUGAAUGUUUCAAAUUCAGUAAUUUUUUGUAAGGGGGAUCUUUAAUUCAUGACCUAAACAAUGAACGAUUCAGAUCAUUUUAAUGAUAUUGUCAAGUUGACCCAAACGAUUGGUUAACAUUGUAUUAACCGUUUUUUUUAUCUAGCAAAUACAUAUUAUGUGGUGUUUAUAUCGGAAGAGGAGGAUUCGGUGGUGACACCCUAGCUAGGUCAAGAUAUUCAAUUCGUUAUAGUCUCAAUUAUAACAUGUACUGUGUUUGAUGAAUUAUUGCUAUCCAAUUAAUACUUUACAAUGAAAUUUAUUGAACUCAAACCAGUUUCUUAAUUAACACACGACAAUACCAUAACAAUCUUAUUAAUUUUAAGAACACUCGAAGACUCAUCUCAUAAGUGAGCGGUAUAAUCCAUGCAUACACAACUGCUUCUUUAGCGCAGAGGUCUGUUCAUUAUAUUCUAUAACUCGAAGUGCUGGCAAAAGGAUUAGGAGGCAUGGCGAGAUUCUCACCUUCUCUUUCCAACAUUUGAACUACAACUUCCAUUGAAGGACGAUCUAUUGGAUGCCAUUGGAUGCACCAUAGACCCAGAAUUGCAAGUUUCCUAGCAAUUGUUACAUCUACUUCGUCGUCACCGAUAUGGAUUCGUAGGUCGUUGCCAUGCUUUAAAAGGUUAUACAUCCAUUCUGGGAAGUAGACUUGACUAGAGGCGUCCUCCAUGACUUUAAAGUUUUUUCUGCCUCCAACCAUUUCAAGCAACAAUAUUCCAAAACUAUAGACAUCUGACUUAUAGGAGACAUUGCUGAAGUUCCUUGAGAAGAUUUCAGUUUUCAGGUGCGAUGUAGCCCAUGGUCCCCCUGGCUGUAGUCAUCAUAUUUCUUCUGUGCUAAACCGAAAUUAGAAACUUUUGGAGUGAAAUCUUGGUCUAGCACUACAUUAUGUGGUUUGAUAUCGAAGUGCAGGAUUUGUUGGUCGCAUCCUUGGUGAAGAUAUUCAAUUCCUUUAACUAUUCCUAGAGCGAUGUCUUGCAACUUAUCCCAACCAAUGAAUGAAUUCUUAUUAUCUGCUGAUGAUAAUAAAUUUUGCAAAGAACCAUUUGGUAAGUAUUCGUAAAUCCGUCUGCACAAACUCCAACCAAGCAAAUCGCAUUGACAUGGUGGAUUUGACACAUUGUCCCCACUUCAUUUAUGUAAUCUUCCCCAUUUUCAUUUGAAUUGUUGAGGAUUUUCACAGCAACAAGUAAUUCAGAGGAAAGCUUUCCUUUGAACAUUGUUCGGUAUGCCCCUUGAGUCAACUUUUCCUUGAAUUGAUUUGUUGUCCUCUUAAUAUCAGCAUAGGAAUAUCUACUUGGCUUCAUCGCUCUGUAAUCAUCCAAAAACUUUCGAUUCUAAGCCGAUUUUCUUUGUCCAUUUUGUUAGAGGUAUAGAUAUGGUUGAUUGUCAUCACCUUCGCUAUUAGAACUAAACACAGUGCACAAAUACCUGCAAAUAUUUUCUUUUUGUGCCAAUCAUUUUUUAAAGCGUUUUUAGCCAUUUUAAACUCUCUUCAAAACAUACACUUAAUUAAUUUCCUCACCAAUAUGUUCGUAAAGAAAAGAAAAAGAAAGAAAAAAUAAAUAAAUAAGGUGAAAUGAAGGUUACGAUCUGUAAAAGUUGUUCAUGAAAUAAGGACCGAUUUUCAAAUCAAUGAAAUCCAAAAUUAUAGUUUGCAUAUAGAAUCUUCAAUGAAUCUUGAAAUAAUCUUGAAAUUAUAGUUGGAAAGUAAACUUGGAGUGUAAAAUACCUUUGCAAUGUUCAUGGAAUGGACCAAUGCAAUAUUCCUAUCUCAUCAGAUAUAUAUAUAUAUACGCUAAUCACCAAUGAAACAACAAUGACAGCGUAAAUAUGGUUACCAGAAUUGUUGCCAGGGCUCAAUCUCUCCAGACAUUCACUACCAUAUAUGCUGGAACAAUAUUUAUCUCUUACUGUUGACGGUGGACAACUGAAUAAGCAAGCAACCAUUACUGUAAAACAUCUCCCUAGGCAAGCAACCAUCAUAAGGUGUUCCUCUAAUUGCAUGAGAUCUGUAGUUAAUCGGCCCCACUCCUUCUGGAUGUUUUAGUCAAUGGCCGACGGGUAAGGUGAUCUCUAAAUUUUUAUCUGACUAUGGGCCAACAAAAAUAAAUAAAUAAAUAAAUAAAUUUAUCUCUUUAAAGAGUUAAAACUGCACUAAUUGGAAAUAUCCCUUGUGCUCUGACAGCAUGUCUGGAGGAAGUCUCCUAUUUGCGGCUUACACAGUGCUCCUUCUUCUUCUUGUUCCUUCCUCUUGUUCCCAAACCGCUUCCAAUAAUAUUACAGCUGAUAACUCUGAUUGUAUCCGUUCUUGUGGAAAUAUUAACAUAAGCUAUCCAUUCCGAUUGAAAGGAGAAUCUAAACACUGCGGCAACAAAAGCUUCGAGCUAUCUUGUGAGGCCAAGGGAAAUGGUACUACUCAUCAUGCAGUGCUAUCCUUGUUUUCAGGAAAGUAUUAUGUACAAGCAAUCAAUUACAAUAACUUCACAAUCCGACUUGUGGAUGUUGGUGUUCACAAGAUCAAGGACAACUACUUCUCCCACCCACUCUUCUCCUUGACCCCCUUCAACUUUUCUUAUUACUCCGAUUAUACAGGUCCUCUUCCUGAGUAUUACCAUAUAGAAUCAUUAAUGUCUAUAAUCUUCCUGAGCUGUGAAAUUCCAAUGAAUCCUUCCGAUCUCAUUGUUGAAACAGCUCCAUGCAUCAGUGGGGUCAACAACUAUUCUUCUUCCAAUUCUUCUUUCUCCAAUUUAACAACAUAUUCUUAUUUCAUACAAUUUCGGUUUGGGUAUGGCUCUGAGAAUGACCGAAGUUUACACAAUUUGCUGGAUUCCUGCAAAAUAACACUAACGGUUAUGGUGUCCCCUUCAACUGAGGAGCACAUGACGUCUUGCAAAGGAAUAUAUAAUGAAAUAGCGCAUGGCUUUGAACUCUCAUGGCUUCAUCAUGCAUGUAAAGUAAUGUGCAGAUCAGGGGAAUCUUGCAGGCUGAACCGCAACGACAAUGGAAUCAACUGCUUCCAACGCCGGUUAAAUUUAAUACCAAAAGGUUAGAUAAUUGCCAAACCUUUAAAUUAUAAAUUAUAUAUUUACUGUAGUGUCAAAUAUCAGUUUUAUCCACUUUGAUGACUAUGAUAGCAUGUUAAACCGUAAUUUCCAACCGUUACUAAGCUAAUGUUACAGUUUUCUUUUCAUAAUUUGUGUCUAACCAGAAUUCUCUUUAUGCUAAUGUUACUGUCUUCUUUUGCAAUAUAGUCCCUUGGUACGACGAGAUCAUAAUGUCCAUAAUCAAGAAAGGAGGUGAGUGGAUCCCUCAACUCUGUAAAUAGACGUUUACUUUUCUUUGGCCUUUUCGCUUGACUAACCACCUUAGUCAUUCCAUUGAUCGAUUGAUUUCUCUACUUCACCCGAUAUACAGGCUCUUCCAAUUUGAUCAGCCUUUCCCUAUGUAUAGUUACAGCUUCUGGGAUGUGCAGUCGCUUCCCAAGGACUAUAUUAUUAUUAUUUUGAUUGAGAUGGAUUUGCAAAGGACUAUAUUAUUAUCAUUAUUAUACUUCGCGUUCAUUAAUUCCAUUUUUGUGAACCAUGCAGCAAUAUACCUGGCAGCCAAAUUUUCAUUUGGUUUUUGUUGUUUAACUGCACUGCUAAUAUAUAAAUGGCGAAGGAGGCACUUGUCAUGCCAAUAAGGUACUCUUACUCCGACAUCAAAAAGAUGACCAGAGGUUUCAAGGACAAAUUGGGGGAAGGAGGCUGUGGCUCUGUAUACAAGGCAUGACUUUAUCAAUGAAGUUGGUACCAUUGGAAGGAUUCGUCAUGUUAACGUGGUGCGACUUAUUGGCUUCUGUGUUGAUGGUUCAAAACGCUCUAGUAUAUGAUUUCACGUCUAAUGGGUCUCUUGACAAAUACAUUUUUUCUCAACAAGGAGAUGUGUCUUUAAGUUGCCAGAAAAUAUUUGAAAUUGCACUUGGAGUGGCUCGUGGUAUUGAUUACCUCCAUCAAGGCUUGGACAUGCAAAUUUUGCACUUUGACAUCAAGCCUCACAACAUUCUUCUAGAAGAGGAAUUUUACUCCCAAGGUCUCUGAUUUUGGGUUAGCAAAGCUAUAGAAAUUGGAUAGGAACCAUGAGAUACAUUGCUCCAGAACUGUUCUACAAAAACAUUGGAGGUGUUUGAUACAAAGCCGAUGUGUAUAGCUUCGGAAUGCUAUUGAUGGAAAUGGCUGGUAGAAGGAAAAACCUGAAUGCAUGUAUAGAACAAUCAAGCCAAUUUAGCCAAAUCUACUUUCCGACAUGGGUUUCUGAUCAAUUGAAGGCAGGAAAGGACAUAGAAAUAGGAGAUGAUGCAACAGAUGAGGAAAAGAAGAUCAUAAAGAAGAUGAUGAUGGUGGCUUUAUGGUGCACACAAAUGAAGCCUAUCGAACGCCCUUCAAUGAAUAAAGUAGUGGAGAUGCUUGAAGGAGAAAUUGAGAGCCUCCAAAUGCCUCCAAGGCCUUUCUUAUAUCCACAACAAAUUCCUGCAGAUGAAGUUGGUGUGGACAAUCGAAGUCCCUGUGCAUCAGGUGCUUCAGAAUCUGAAGAGAUUACUUUGAUUGCUGAUGCAAAUGAAGUGAAUCAAUAUUAGUCACGAUGUGGAUCUAUGUAAGGGAAAGUUAGCAGCUCUACUCUGUAUUUGAUCAUAGCACAAAUAUUUUUACAUGUUGUAAUUGAUUUAAGCAAAUAAUUAGCCUCUCCUUUUGGUUAUUGUUUGAGAAACUGCCUGCCCGAAAUGCAAUGACUUGAACUUUGAUGACAAUUAGGUUUACACAAAUGAAUUGCCUAAAAGAAACAAUUCAUUUGUGUAUGGAUAUUUUGUCGAGUGGGCUUAUUAUGCCUGAACGGUAUUAUGUUGGGUUUUUAAAAAGCUGUGCAGUGGCAAAUAGCAAUAAUGAGAAUCCAGGUAUAGGGUAAGGUCCUUCUAGCAAAACGAACUGUGGAACAUAAGGUGUUGAGAACAAAGCAAAGGCAAAUAGACUGAGAGGAAAGUUUGUAUCAACCGCAAAGCAGGCAGCUCAAAAGUUUGUACCCUGCCCCUUUAUGACAUUUAUGCAUCUUCCCCUGUCCUCUGUUUUCUUCUUAAACGUCGUCAAGUUUCAGUUUGCAGACAGAGCGAGUAUAUUUGUCUGUACCUAUUUAUAGUUGCUCAAGUUAAAGAUGGCAUCAAUAAUGGAAAGAGAACUUCGGCCCUUCUCUUCUAAGCUUGAAGCAAGGGUUCAAAAUUAAACAAGAGCCUAUACGUCAAAUAAUCUCCAUAUCUGAAUUAGAAUCCAGUUCUACCGACAAUGACUAAACCAUAUAUAAGAGUUUACAGACCCAGGGCAAAGCUACAGACUUGGACCAAAGUGAAACUCAAACUCAAAAAGCAACGAAGAAAAAUUGGGAUUUCAAGCUAAAAGAUUGAAAAGAGCAAGCUACAUGACCGAACCACAGACAGGAACGAAGAAAAAACUUAAAAAACAUUAGCCUAAGCUGCACAAUCCACGCGGGCCGACCGUGGAGACCUUCGAAAGGGAAGUGCCAGUUUCACUAAAGUCUAAGUUCUUAACAUAGGAAUAUGUCAGACAAACUUGAUUAACAAAUAAAUUAAAGAAAAAACUGCAACUAAACCAAUCUGAUAAGUGGUAAAGUGGUAUAAUCUUCUCUUCCGACAUAGGUAACACACAUCACACAAGUAGACAUGUUAAAACUAAAAGUUACACUCAUUCCAUACACAGCUCGGUUAUUAGAUCAUUGAUCCCAUCCAUUUUCAAAUCCACUAGGAUCGGCAAAGCCUAUAGAUGUUCUAAACAACCACUCGUAAGGUGGAUUCAACGAGUUUAAUAACCAAAGCCAAAACAAGCAUGAGACAGAUGUUCUAAGCAACUACUCUGUUUCUUUCUAGUUUCUACUAAAUAAUGUUGCCUCCAUCCAUUUUCAAAUCCUCUAGGUCUAGGAUAAGCAAGCCUCCGUCAAAAAAAACCAAGAGAAAUUAAAGGCAAAUGAGCUCUACUUGACCUCUAUCAAACAUCCUCCUCGCACAGACGCACAGCUACUAAUUAUACAACAACACAUUCCUCGUUCCUAACUCGUCACAAUUUCAGAGACUUCAAUUGAAAAGUGAGAGAUUAAAAAAAGUUACCAUUUGCACCAGACGCAUUGCCCCCAUCUCAAACCCUAAAUUACCUUUAAAUAUUUUAUUGACAUUUUAUUCCACCACUAGUUAUCCCUACUAUUAUUGGAACUAGGCGGCUAUUAGGAGAAGAUGAUAGACCUAUAGAUAUUAUCUUAGAAGCACUCUAAGAGUUCGCCCUCCCUAUCCAAAAAAAAAAAAAUUACAAAGAUACCAUUUUGCCUUUACAUUUAACAAAAAAGAUAACGAAAUUGACGGUAGGACCAUUUGUCCUAACGAAAGUAAAGUUGAAGGACCACCGAAAUGAUUUUGGAAAUUCAGGCACCAAAAUGAGAAUGAGGUAAAAUUCAGGGACCAUUAGACCUAAAAUCCUUUAGAAUAUAAUAUUGAUUGAUUGACAUUCGCUUGACUUCGUAGUCGUUUUAUUGAUCGUUCUCUUCACUACUACUACAGGGGCAAUUAUUGACCUUAUUUAUAGGCACUUCCACCUUGAUAGACUUUUCCCUAUGAAUUUUGCCAACUAUUGCCGUGAUCAGCUUGUGGACUGUAUAAUUGUUUACCCGGGUAAGAGAAUACUGGUGUUGAUCUCACUGAAACAUUAUUCUUUAGAUUUAAAGCCACAAUAAAAAUUUAUGCUCUUAUGAGAACGAAACACUUACAUGGUUGAGAUGGGUUUGAAGAGGAGUAAUUAUUAUUAUUAGGGUUAAUUUCAGUUUGUUUAGAAAUAUUUUUAUUAUUUUUAAUGUUUUAUUAAUAUUUUAAGCAAUUUAAGUUUUAAAAGGUGAGUCAUAUAUGCCACAUUAACAACUAAAGAAAAUUUUAACACCGAAACCGGAUUGCAAAACACUGAAAAGCUUAGAGUACGUAAUCAUUAAAAUUAAGAGUGUGUGAGCAAACAUGUCUUAAGAGUAAGAGUUUAAGGUACUAAAUUGAAAUUAACCCAUAUUAUUAUUAUUAUCCUUCUUACUAAUUCCUUUUUUUGUGAACCAUCGGUAGACGUGAAAUAUUUAUCUCUCACUGUUGACGGUGGACAAUUGAAUAAGAAUGCAUGGCCUACGUAUUCUAAGGAAGACGAAGAACAAUUGCUGUAAAAGAACUCCCUCGGCAAGCAAUAAUCAGAAUAUCUUGCUCCAAUUGCAUGAGAUCUGUAGUUGCUCUCUCUUAAAUAAAGAGCUUAGCUGACGACGAUGGUAUCUCAAGCAUAGUCUAGUUGUCGCCAGUGCAUGAAAGAUCAAAGCCACGGAAGCCACAAUAGAUUGGCUGCCUACCUUUAAGUCGAAAUGGAAAUCGAAUGGCUGGGCCUUCCGGGCCACAUCUUGUCUCUCUGCAAUCUUGAAGGACUCCUCCACCAUUGACUACAUCUACCAGUCGUACAAUUAUCAUGAGUUGCAUGAGCAAGCACCAUAAGAAAUUCAUGAUGAGAACCAAAGCCACAGCAGCACCAAAAGAAAUUCAGGAUGUUUGAGUCCGUCAAUGGCGGGUGAAUCAUGCUUGUUCACCGGGUGGAUGGCUUCCCCGGUUGACUGUGUAACAUCCCGACUCCAAAUUUAAUUCCCUAUUAAAUUUAUUUAAGUGAAAUUACGAAUUUACCCUUGGGAUAUGGGUAUUUUAGUCAUUUUCUCAUUCGAAAAGAGUUUGGGACAGUGACUGGUAUUUUGGGUUGGUCGUACUGAGACGAGUCCGUAGACAUGCGGUAGGCUUGAAUCGGAGUUGUAACGAAGUUUUGGCGACCAAAAUAAGUUCAGUGGCAAACUUGUAAUUAUUUCAAAAAGAGUUGGGGUAAAAAUCUGAUUUUUGUUUCUUUCUCUCUCACUCUCUCUCUCUCCAUCCUCGUCGCGAACAGCCCCCUCCCCUUCGUUUUCUCACAGCCGCCACCCUCCAAGACUACCGUCGGCGCCACCGUCAACGACCGACCUCGAAACUGAUCCCGUUCGAACCACCGCUUCUCCCUCGUCCUUUCUCGACCAGUCUCAGCCAUCACUGUCCACUGUGCUCGCCGGAAUCAGUCGAAAAUGAGCCAGUUUUGAUAGAAUUUCUCACCGCUCGAUCUUUCUCCUCCGGAAACCAAUUCUGAUGGGUGAGGUAUGGUUUCUCAUCUAUUUUUCAAACUCUAGCUGUCUGUUGCAUAGGAUUGGAUCGAUUUUGCGUCUAGGAAACCGAUUUUGGAAUCUAGGUUUUGGCCGAAUUUCAAAGUAAAAUUCCUGUAGGUUGUCGUCCGAAUUGGACCUCCUCGUCGUUGAAUAAAGUGAUCCUUGCCUCGAGUAGUAGCUAGGGUGUGCGACGGUGUGGAGUUUUUCCGUCGCUGGAAAUUUUUCUACACACCCACGCGCUGCCGGCAUGUGGGCAAGGGUGGUGAAGCCACAUUUUGUCCUGUUGUAACCCGUAGGUUGUCACGAGCGCGUAGGUGUGCUCGGAUUUCAAUUCGGACAUCGUUUGACUAUCGAACGGAUUUCGCAUAUUGUGCGUUAUCCGGGUUCGAUAGGUUCUAACCGUUGGAUCGUUUUUAAAUUAAAAUAUGUUAAUCUAGGCACUCCUAGAAUCGUGUAGGAUUUCGCUGAUCGUGAAUCGGAGCCCCGGAUGUUCCGAUUCAAUAAUUCGAAUUUUAUGGGUUACGAUAACCAUCCAAUUAUGAGCGAUCCAACCGUCCCUUUCGGAUCACACCUGCAAGACGCAUUUUCUAAACUUUAGUCGGACCUUAGGAUAUCUUGUCCUACGUACACGCACCGGGAACUUGGGGAUUUAAGUAUUUAUUUUGUGAUUUCCGUUUCGAAGUGAUGUUAUAUUAAUUAAAGGUUCGUAUCUCGAAAUAGGUGCUCCGAUCGAUCGUACACAGCAGGCGGGACCCUCUCAGGGUCCGGCAGCUUGGGACUAUUUGUGAGUGGACUUAGUUUUCAAUCAAACCCAUGGUUUUAUUGAUGAAAGAUUUAUGCAUAUGUUUUAAAUGGUAUAUGGGAUAUAAUACAUAUUCGGUUGUUGAAUUUGAUGUUAUUAUAAGCUUUGGCAAUAUAUUUUGGAUUUUGACAUAUUUGAGUAUCGUGAGUAUGUUUAUAUGGAUUUUGGGAAAUUCUAUCUAUAUUGUCUAUAUGUGAGGUACUUAGGUUGUUGAGGUGAGAUUGUGGAAGAAUUUGAGUAUGAGGGGUUGUUGAGAGAAGAUGUAUGAUUACACUAUGUAAGUACCAUCCCCUAAUUACUAGGCUUCCCACACGUGGCGUUGGUAGUUCCGCUUGUGGGAAAAACAUGUGAUUAUUAGUCUCACACGUGGCGUUGGAAGUUCCGGCGUGUGAGACACUUCCCAUACGUAGCGUUGGAAUUUCCGGCGUAUGGGAAGAUUAUGUAUAUUGCUUGGAAUCAUCACACAUGGCUUUGGAAGUUUUGGUGUGUGAUGAUGUAGUCUGCCCCCGAAGGACUUAGUAUUAGAGUUACACGUGGCGUUGGAAUUUUCGGCGUGUGAGCUAUGGAGUUUCAUCCCCUGGUUGGAUUGCUCAUCCCUAGACGCAGGAUAAUACCUGAAAAUCCUGUAGGCUAGCCAAACAAUCCCCCAGUUGGAUUGUUUUCCCUGUACCUUGGUAGUGUGAUGAGUAUAUUGUACAUUUAUAUUUAUAUAUUUAUAUCUAUAUAUAGGUGUCAGUGUAAAGCAAUUAGAGUAUAUGCAGUGGGUUGGUAAGAGCAGUAUAAUUUUGGGAAAUAAGUUUAUGGAUUGAGUGAUUUGUGGUUUUAAAGGGUUUUGGAGAUUGAUGUUUUUGGAUCAUUAAAUAUGAAUUAUAAAUCUGCAUGUCUUGAGCAUUAUUUUUACACGGUGGGGUUAUUAUGUUGUUUUAAAUGCAAACUUUGUUUUUGUCCACUCACAUGUUUUCUGUUUUGCGCCUCCCAGACAGUAGUCACUCAAGGAGAGCUACAAGCUGUGUUCGGGGCUCGAACUGUGAACUUCAAUAGUUAGGCUUUGAGUAAUUUUCUUUCUACUCAACUGGUUGUUGUAAACUAAAUCUGUUAGAUGCUCUGUAACUGCCCAUGUUAGGUUUUACUUGUGAGGCCGGAGGCCAUUUUAGUAUGUAUUGUUGUAUGUUGAAACCAUGCUACUGGUUGGGAUUAUAUUGUAUUAUACAGGUUGAAUUUUGUUGGGUUUGUUCAAUUUACAGGGGAGAUUCUGCUAAAAUUUUGGUAGAAUGUCUCGGUUUUUAGUAAGUGGGCCAGCAUCGGGAUAAUGUCGAUAACAAGACGGAAUUCGUCCCGAUUUUCGAGAAAUUCCAAGACGAGUCCUGUCAUACUGGAGCCCUGACUCAAGUCAGGAUCAGCAAUUGGGUUAAACAGACCCUAGGCAGAUGGAUAACACAAAUUUAUGCCGUUACAAGUACAAAACACUUGCAGGAUUGAGAGGAUUUGGAAAGGAGUAUAUUAUUUUAUUCUCAUUCUUAUUAUCCUUCCUAGUAAUUCCGUUUUUGUGAACCAUGCAGCAUUAUACCUAACAACCAAAGCUUUAUUUGGUAUUCCAUUUGUAACUGCAUUACUAUAAUAUAAAUGGCGAAGGAGGCACUUGUCAAUGUAUGAGAAUAUAGAAGACUUCCACGGAGUAAUAAUAAUAAUUUCAUGUUAGUAAGGUAUACUUACUUAGACAUCAAAAAGAUGGCAAAAGGUUUCAAAGAUAAAUUGGGUGAAGGAGGCUAUAGCUCCGAAUACAAGGCAAAGCUCCGCAGUGGUCGCGUGGUAGCCAUCAAGAUGUUAGGUAAGUCCAAAACUAAUGGGCAAGACUUUAUCAAUGAAGUUGGCACCAUUGGGAGGUUCACCAUUUUAAUGUGGUUCGACUAACUGGCUUAUGUGUUGAUGGUUCCAAACGCGCUCAUGUAUAUGGUUUAUUGCAGUGAGUGUCUAUUUUUUGAAGUCGAUGCAGUUCUCUUUGAUUUUGAACAUGAGUAUUUUGUAUGGUUUUAUCUAUUAAAUAUGAAUAAGAAUAUUAUCGUUUCAUUUCAAUGGGUUUAUUUUGUAUAUUAUUAUAUUUUUUUUCACCUUCUACACGUUGAGUCCCAUAAUGAAAAUUCUUGGAUCCGCCAUUGGCUGUUGCACAACGCGCUUUUUAAAAUUUUUAAUAAAUAAAUCCUGGCCAAAAUUGCAUAUCCAUUAAAAAAUUCCUGGAUCCGCCAGUGAAUACGGGUACAGAACGUUCAAGCCAAUUUAGUCAAAUCUACUCUCCAACAUGGGUUUCUGAUCAGUUGAAAGAAGUAAAGGACAUAGAAAUAGGAGAUGAUGAAACAAAUGAGGAAAAGAAUAUCGUAAAGCAGAUGAUGAUGGUGGCAUUAUGGUGCGUACAAAUGAGGCCCAGUGAACACCCUCCUGCAAAUGAAUAAAGUACUGGAGAUGCACGAAGGAGACAUUGAGAACCUUCAAAUGCCUCCAAGGCCUUCCUUAUAUCCACAACAAACUCCUGCAAAUGAGGUUGGUGGGGACAAUCCAAGACCCUGUGCAUCAAGUGGUUUAGAAUCUUUGGUUGCGGAUGCAAAUUAAGUGUUUUAAUAUUAGUCAUGAUGUGGCUGUAUGUAAGGGAAAUUUAGCAGCUCUACUUAAGGGGCAGUUAAACAUGUUUUUCGUAUUUGACCAUAGCACAACUAUUUUUAAUUUACAUGUAAUUGAGUUAAGCAAAUAAUUAGCCUCCGCCUUUGGUUAUUAGUAGCUAUGUUGAUGUGCAAAGAACAGGAUAGACAUUGUUUGAGAAAAUACCAAUGGAACUUGAAGCUAUUAGAAGAAGCAUAGACUUUGUUUGAGAAAAUGCCUGCCAAUUAGGAAUGCAAUGUAAGGUCCUUCUAGCAAUAAUGAGAAUGAAAAUACGAACAAUGGAAAAUAAGGUGUUGAGAUUUUGACCCCAAAAAGAAAGGUGUUGAGACCAAAGCAAAGGCAUAUAGACUGAGAGGAAAGUUUGUAUCAACGGCAACGGCGAAAGCAGGCAGCGCAGCUUGUAUCCUACCCUAUCCUUUGUUUUCUUCUUAAACCUUGUUAAGUUUCAGUGUUGCGGACAGAGCUACUAUAUUUGCCUGUCCCAUUAAUAAUGGAAACCAACCUUCAGCCCUAUACGUCAUAUAAUCUCAAUAUUUGAAUCUAGUUCUACCGAGUACAGACCCCAGAGCAAGCUACAGACUUAGAUUGAUAAUGGCCAGUGGGUUUGAAGUGAGCAAUUUGGGCUAAAGGAUUGAAGACAUUGCUAUUGAAACUAAAAGUUACACUCUCGUUCCAUGCACAGCUCUGUUAUUAGAUCAUUGAUCCCAUCCAUUUUCAAAUCUGUUAGCAUCGGCAAGCCUAGAUGUAACCAACUACUCGUAAAGUGGAUUCAUAGAAUUUAAAUACCAAAGCAGAAACAAGCAUGAGACAGAUGUUCCUAAGCAACUGCUCUGUUUCUUUCUAGUUUCUACUAAAUAAUGUUACCUCCAUCCUCCUACAAAGUCAAAUGAGCUCUACUUGCCCUCACUAUUAAUAUAUAUUGUGUUAAUUAAUCUCUGCUAAUAUUUUAGUCUAUUAUGCAACCAACAACAACAAAUAAUUAAAUAUUAAAAUAUUUAUUGGGCAGGCCUAGCCCAGCCCAACUAACCCAAUGUAGCCCAAACCAACCAAACUAAAUUCUUCCAUACAAAUUCAAGCCCUAAUGGCUCUGUUUGUGUGGGCGGGCUUGGGCCGAAGUGCUAAAACUUAUACCCAACCCAAGUUAGCCCAAAGAAAUGCUUAAAUCAAAAAAGCCCAACGAGGCCCAAUGAUAGAAGGCCAUACGAUCCACUUUCCAUCAAUAAUUAAACUCUCUCUCUCUCUCGCUCUUCAAUGUAUUCAUUUGUCUAGCAAUUAUUUUCCUUGAAAGUUAUAGUCUUCAAUGCAAUUGAAUGGGGCAUCUUUUACUCAAAGCUACAUCAAAAGGCCAAAAGUUAUUUUUAACCGAAUUAUUGGAGUCAUAAUAUUUCUCUUCUUCAGCUUUUUGAAGGACUUUUCCUAUUUAGAUGGGCGAUAGUACUAAACUUACACACACUAAACGGAUGCUAGAAUUUGAACCCAGAACCAUAUAUUAGGGAGCAAUUACUCUAAAUCAGUAGGUCAUUUGCUUUCCUUUUUGAUCUAGUAAGGGAAAAACGAGCCUUGUUUUUUUUGCGUAACCUAUGUGGCUCUUUGAUGUUAAAGUCUGUUAGCUUAAAAAGUCCAACCACCAUUGAAACCCCAUCAGUCUUUUCUUACUUUUUUGUUAUUUUUUUAAAAUAAUUUAAAUAAAGAUAAAGGGUAACAUGUUUUAUCAUUAAGGCUAUAUGUGGACUCAAAUUGCUUCCGUGAAGUCCAAAUAAUCAUUACUGCAUAAAAUAUUUCCCGAUUUGAGGAGUGGGUUGGAGAGAAGCGUAAGUUGACUAUUGUGGAACAACCGUUGAAUUUUCAUUGCACUUUCUUUGUUUGUUUUUUCUUUUGUCCCUUUUUUCUUUGGAAAUAGGAUAAGAACAAUCAGACAUGAUUUUCUUCUUUGUUUGUUUUUGUUAUAAAAAUAACCUGGAAUAUGUGCGAAUAUUGAGCUGCACGUAAAGUAGAUGAGACACAGUAUUUAACGAGGUUCGGCUAUGCCUACGUCCCUGGAGAGCAGCAAUAGUAACUUUUCCACUAUGUAAAAUAAUAGGGCUACAACUUUAGUGUUUACAAUAUGUGUGGCUCACUGAAUUUUCUCUCUAGGAGAAUUUCUUUCUGCUCUCUCUUUCCUCUUUCUUCCUUCUCUUCCUCUUGUCUCUUUCCUUUUCUCUCUUUCCUCUUUUCUCUUUCCCCUUCUUUCUUUCCUCUUCUCUUUCCUCUUCUCUCUUCUCUCUUUCCUCUUCUUUGUUUCUUUCCAUUUCUCCCUUUCUCUUCUCUCGGAGGUGUACAUGCAAAGGCACAAUAAUGUCUUAUUUAUAGGCUAAGGAAAUGAUGCCCGUGAAUGUACAAUAAGAGAAAGUUGCGGACAAACGUUACCCAAAGUCUCCAAAUGAAUAGUUAGUGGGCUCCACACAAAAACUUUUACAACACUCCCCCUUGAGACCACAAAUGAUAUGUCAGUUGCUUCAUCAGACUUUGCUUGGUGAAAACCUAGUAAGGUAGAGAACUGAUGGAAGGAAGAAAGAAGAGUACAACAAUCUGUAUAGCAUACUUCUGGAUGCUCCCCCUGAUUAAUAUCUCCCCCUGAUGUCUUCAUAACUAUCUUUUGGAGUGAGAAUCUUUCGGAGUGAGUGAAUGAUGUAGCCACCAACAAUUCAUAUAGUAAAUAUAUUUCCAGUGAGCUAUCUCUAUGUAAAUCAUAGAAAUUUUCAGAGUCCGCGUUUCCAACAAAACCUGGGCUAUUUGUAAGAUCAUAUGAAAGAAUAUGCCCAUACAUGGUGUUAUGCGGAGAUAGCAUCAAAUAUACCUCACAUCAUCCCAAAAUGAUGGUGAUGGAGUUGAGCCUUAUCUGGAAAAUAUGAUGUCCGGUCCAAUAUACUUCCGAAAAAUCCUUAAAGUGCCCAACGGAUAAUCCUCAUAAAAAUGCUUCAAUAUUUUCUUAGUAUAAGCAAGAAUCUCGUUGGCAUAAUGCUCGAUCUUUAAGUCGAGACAAAUAUUUCUGGAACUCUUGAGAAGCUUUAUUGUGUUGCAAACACAUUAUAAUCAAUGUACUCACUGAGGUAAUUUAUGCAUAUUAAUAUUGAGUACAAAUUUUGUGCUUCAGGCACAUGUCAUUCAGGGACUUGCUUCAUGCAAUUUCAAUCCUUUCAAGGAUUUUGUUUAAAGGGAUUAAACUUUAUGACACAUUAUAUAACUUUAACCCAGCUAUUUAUACAUCUUUAGGGAAUCACUUCAGGUGAUAUGCUCUGUGCAUUUAAUAACCCUUAAAGAUAACAUGUUGGUCUCCGUAAAUGUGCAAUAAAGGGGCACAAUUGAAUCUAUAAAUAUGGAGAAAACCCAACAUUCCUUGUUUCUGCCAGAAACAUUGUGUCAUACAAAGUAGGUAUAUUCCCUUUUAUUCCGAACACCCAAGUAUAACUUUCAGUAUUGACAAAUUUGGGGUUCGUACUGUGGGUUUGUUCUUUCACGUUCAUUCUUAUCUAUAAUGGAAUUACCUCAUUCCAUUUUGGCCAAUGAUAUUGUCGACAUUUAAUAAUUGAACGUGGUUCCAAUCAACACAGCCCAUUGAUGAUUUGAGUAGCUACUCCAAAAUCAAAAAUUGUCAUUCAUCAAUUCAUGAUCCCACCAUUCUCAUGUGCAUGCGCAUGCAUCAAUUAUAAGCAUUUCUUUGCUUUUGGGUACCCAAGCCACUGCAGGGGGCUUUUAUUAUGUGAGAAUGUGGAUUAUAACCUCCAAUGGAGCGUUAUUUUAUAGUAGGGCGUGGAUAAUCUCCAUUUAGGGAGUUGGAACAUUUAGAACCCAUAUAUCUGUCAUGCUGCAGGCAUGCCACAGAUUAAUACAUACAUGUCAAUUAAUUUAUGGGACUUUAACCCAUAUUAUGGGACUUUAACCCAUAUAAUUUGCUACGCAUUAGGCGUGCAUAAUAUCAAUAUUGACAUGUCAAAGGAUUGUCCUUUCGGGACUUCAAUCCACAUCAUUUGCUACGCAACAGGCGUGCAUCAUAUUGAUCACUGCUAUACCCAUAUUCUGUUCUUAUGGGACUUUAAUCUGUGCAGUGUAUUAUCAAUGUAUCCAACUUGCAAUCUGUAAAAUUUGCGUUAAUAAUUCAUGGAUACAUACAAGCCAUUCUUUUGGAACGGACUUAUCUCCCCAUUUGGUUACCUUUCAAGAUAAAAUAUCAAAUAGGUAUAUAAGCAUAAAAUAACACAAGUAUUGCUUACAUCCUUAGGUAGGAGAAACUUUUCUCAAGUAUCAUUCAAGCUCGUAUCGGCCCAAUAAAUAUAAAGUAUCGCUUGAUGAUCUAGUUAUAUCCUGCAAGAGCAAAAUCACAACUCUUUUCUCUGUCAAAAACAAAUAACCCUCAGAGUUAGGAUCACUCCAUGGAUUCUUUCUUCAGAUGUUCAUUCUAAAGAAAUAAAAUCUCUUAUGAACAGAGAGUUAUAAAAAGAGAAAAAAUGCAAAAAUAAUGUGAUAUUGAUUGCAAGAGAAGGUAAGCAAUCAAGGAAGGAAGCUGGUGGGAGCAGACAAUAAGCUCUCAUAUCUCCUAGUCUAGAAGGACUUCCGGAGAUUAGAGCAUAAGAUCGCCUUCACAGUUUCCUGAUGUAGCGGAAACGUGAUCAGGGAUAGUCUUGCUUCCUGAAUGGAUGAUCAGAGAUAGUUUUGCUUCUCGGGCAUAUUGAGUGCUCACUGAUAAGAAAAAUAAGUAGAUAUCGCAUCACUAGGUAUGGAGUAAACUGGAUGUCUUCUACAAAGAAAAUUUCGUUAGUAACACAUUUAUACACAAAUAGAAUGAAUAGGUAGAACCGGUGAAUUUCAAAUUAACCAUAGGAAAAUUGCGAGAUUCUCGGGAUACUUUUGAAAAAGUAGCUCCGUGAAAUCCGUAAAGCAAGAUCAGCUUUGACGAAAAUAAUACUUGAAAACGCCGAAAGUGCCGACAGGCAUUAUCAGAGGCCACGUGAAGUUUUGGACUCUGGGAAAGAAAAAGAUAAUAUGGGGAUUCGAGAAGAUAUUGGGAUCCUGGAAAUGUUGCCACAUUUUCGUCUAUAGAUAUUGCAUUUGCAAAACUUGAUUGGAGCAACUGCGUUUCAACUCAACUUCCUUCAUUUUCUGAAACUUUAGUUUUCCUAAGACUUUCUUCGAAACCUUCUUAAAAAAAUGGCUUCCUUCAGAGACUUCCAGAACAUAAUGUAAUUUUAUAGGAUUUACAGGGCCUGCACCUUCAUUGCAGGUGGAAAAAAUCUAUCUGUUGUAUGUUCCUGUAAUAAUAAUUGCGCACAUUCUUAAACUUGCACCUGUGGUUUUUACGUCUUUUCAAAAUGACGGUUUGGAACCUUGUGCCUUAUAGGUUCAAAUAACCACAUUGUCUCUCCCAAAUUGCAUGGUAGCCCGGAACUUUUGGCCUGGGCACAAACUCAGAAUUUAUUUGCCCUUUUCAAAUGGACAUGAAAUGUGAAUUGAGUAAAAGCCAUGAUAAUAUCGCAAUAUAGUAGUGAAGAGCAUUAACUACUAUAUACCCACAACUUCAAGUUCAGGAUCUCUCAUAUAUUUGGAUCCAUGGGCUUCCGGCCCAGAUAUAACAAAAUAUGUGGGGAGCCUCAAUUCAUUAUUUGAGGUUUAUAUUGAUAUUAUCCAUUUCACGGUGUAUUCUUAACAACCGGAAUUCACAAAAUAUAUUUUUUCCUUGAGGUGUCGAUUAUAACAAAAUCGAACUUUAAAUUCAUCAUCUUCUUAUGCCAAAGAAAUAUGUGGCAUACCACAAUUUGCAAUAAUACCUCAAGGGUUGUCCAUUUAAUUGUUGGAACUUCAAGUUCUCAACACUGUUAAAUUUUGAACUUCAGGCCAAAGCCACAUAUUCUCAUGGUAUGGACAUUUUUACAAUUUUCUGUACAUAUUUCGGGACUUCAAGCCCUUACAUAAUUGUCCAUAUUUUGAGGAACUUCUGGCAUCUCAUUUAAUUGCUCAUCCAUGAGUUUAAGGAACUGCAGGUUCCCUUUUGUAUAUAGUGACGGUUUACCCAAAAUGGUUCAUAUUUAUGCAUACGUCACUAUUCAUGUGAAUAUUACUAUUCAUGUGAAUAGUACUAUUCAUCAAGUCAUGAAUACUUAUCUAUUCAUCUGCCAGUACAGUUAUCAUCAAUGUGUACGGCACCAUGAAACUGCAGGUUCCCUUUUGUAUAUAGUGACGGUUUACCCAAAAUGGUUCAUAUUUAUGCAUACGUCACUAUUCAUGUGAAUAGUACUAUUCAUCAAGUCAUGAAUACGUAUCUAUUCAUCUGCCAGUACAGUUAUCAUCAAUGUGUACGGUACUAUGAACCAAUACGGUACUGUUACAUCAUUAAGGAACUCUAGGUCCUUAUUUACAUGUCAGGGAUCAAGGACCCUUAAGUCCGAUCACAUGUUUACAAAUACAGUACCGGAGAGACUGCCAGCUCUCAUAUUAAUAUCAUCAUCAAGGAUCUUCAAGUCCUGAUGUAAUUGUAUGAUGAGGAUCAAGGAACUUCUGGUCCUGAUCUGCAUACUGUAAAAACUCAUCAUACAGCACAAUUAAUCCAUAAAAUAAAUUGCUGAUAAAUAAAUUACUGGUAUGGACGAUAAACCCGCACCAUACUUUAAAUAAAUGUAAAUGUGCGGUAAAAUAAAUUCAUAAAUUAAAUUGCUUGCUGUAUGGACGUUAAUCCCGCACCAUACCUUAAAUAAAUUAAAUAGCUUGCUGUAUGGACGUUAAUCCCGCACCAUACCUUAAAUAAAAUUAAAUGUGCGGUAAAGUAAACGUGCUUGUAUGGGCACUAAUUCUGCUCCAUACAUUUAAAUAAAAGCAAAGGCGUGGACGAUAAACCCGCACCACCCUUUAAAUAUUGUCGUAUGGGUAAUAAACCUACACCAUACCAUAAAUAAAAUAAAUGUGGGAAUAAAAACCACCACUAAAAAUAUAAGAAAGUGAAAAUUACUGUAGGAAGCUUUUCCAACCCCCCUUUUUUUUCUUCAUUGGAAUCUUAUCAACACCAUGAUUCAUUAGUUUGAAAGCUAGACAAAUUAUGUUGGCUUUUCUUCUUUACAUCAACAUAAUGGUUAGUAGUAUAAAUAAUAGUGCAGUACAAAAAUUAUACAUGAGAGCUUCUCGUGCUGAUAACGUGUUAUAAAAAUAACCUGGAAUAUGUGCGAAUAUUGAGCUGCACGUAAAGUAGAUGAGACACAGUAUUUAACGAGGUUCGGCUAUGCCUACGUCCUCGGAGAGCAGCAAUAGUAACUUUUCCACUAUGUAAAAUAAUAGGGCUACAACUUUAGUGUUUACAAUAUGUGUGGCUCACUGAAUUUUCUUUCUAGGAGAAUUUCUCUCUGCUCUCUCUUUCCUCUUUCUUCCUUCUCUUCCUCUUGUCUCUUUCCUUUUCUCUCUUUCCUCUUUUCUCUUUCCCCUUCUUUCUUUCCUCUUCUCUUUCCUCUUCUCUCUUCUCUCUUUCCUCUUCUUUGUUUCUUUCCAUUUCUCCCUUUCUCUUCUCUCGGAGGUGUACAUGCAAAGGCACAAUAAUGUCUUAUUUAUAGGCUAAGGAAAUGAUGCCCGUGAAUGUACAAUAAGAGAAAGUUGCGGACAAACGUUACCCAAAGUCUCUAAAUGAAUAGUUAGUGGGCUCCACACAAAAACUUUUACAACAGUUUUUUCUUUUGUCCCUUUUUUCUUCGUUUGUUUUUCCUUUUGUCCCUUUCCGUGUGUGUGGUGCUGUGGUGAGGAAAUAUACCACACAGGUAUAUGGUCAAGGUCUUCCUCUACAUUGCCUGCUUAGACCUGGAUUCUUGCUUCUCUAGACUUAAAAGUCUUUCUUUUGGAAAUUUCACACCUAAAAGGAAGACUUUUAAGUCUAGAGAAGCAAGAAAGAGAAGUAGUUGCCUGCAGAGAGCAAUUAAGCUUGACUUUGACUUUGUAAAGUUCUGCUUUUCUACUUUCUUGUUGGUCCCAUGCAUAUGGCCCCAAUUUACACGUUAUAACCACUAGUGACGCAACUCCCUAGCUACAGUCACGAAUACUUAAAUAUCUUAUGUGUUUUUCAUUAUUUUGAUUCAUGUUCCUCUCUUGAUUGGUUUCUUAAAUCCACGUCUGGGUAUUCAUUGAUUCAUGCCUACAUUUUUUUUGUCACAAAGGAAUUUCAUGGGAGAGCUGAAAGGGUAGAAAGUAAGUAACAAGCAAAUUCUUAACAAAGAUGAGUGGUCUAAGGAGGUGGUAUACAGAGCCCAUUCCGAAUACUAUGAUUCUACUGCCAACUAAUUAAUGCGGUCUUUUUUUAUUUAUAAAAAAGUAUUAUGGAAUUCAAAUGACAGGACCCGAUCCCAAUUCCACUUUGAAAUUCGAACCAAGUCCUGUGCGUGUCCGACACCUGGCGAAUGUCGAGCACAAAUGACCUUUUUACCCUUCCUGUUACAAUUACUAGUAAAACUUCCCUUAGACUCCUGCCGAAAAUUCGGCAAAGUCUCCCCUAUAUUUUGUCUAAACCAAAAAUCUUCCACCUGUUAAACAAGCAAAUAAUUUUCCACCAACUGCCAGAAUAAAAUAACCAAGCAUUCACCAGAUCAAGUUUCCCACUAAAACGAGAUAUCAGAGCAUUUUCUACUAAUUUACAAGAUUUCAAGAACUUUUACAAUAAAAUCCUACGUUUCUUGGUGGUGCGGAAGCUAGGAGUGGCCCGGUGGUGGAUGUCAGCGCACUUCUACAGCAUGGGGGCGAAAACAAGUUUGAAAAUGUGAGUGGACAAAAAAUAAUGUUCUUGAAAACAGUUUAUAAUCAGAAUAACCCCCAUGGUAAAAAUAACUUGAUGAGUAAGGCUAAAGUUCAACCGUGUUUAAUAUAAGGUAUUCAUCUAACUAUAUAUAAAUGUAUGUAUAUAAACUCGUAAAACUGAACAAUUAUAUGGAGAUAUAAAACAUGCACGAACAUUGAGGAAACUGAUAUAAAAUGACUGAAAGCAAUAGCUCUAUAAAAGUACUCAAAUUCCUUUAAACUACCACCUAAAUGUACCCCUGUAAAAUCCUUCAAAUCCCCUGGCAGGUCUCGGCGACACAAAGUCUAUCCGAGCCGCAAACUGGCAGGAUUCAGGGGACUAUGGUCAGCCUGAUUCGCCGGCAGGUCUCGAUGACACCAAGUCAACUCGAGCCGCUCUAGCAAGAUACAGGGGACCGUAGUCAGCCUGAGCCGCAAAUCCUGGCAGGUCUCGGGACACCAAGUCUGCCGAGCCGCAAAUCCUGGCAGGUCUCGGGGACACAAAGUCAGCCGAGCUGCAAAUCCUGGCAGGUCUCGAGGACACAGAGUCAGCCGAGCCGCAAACCCUGGCACUCACGGUCCGAGCGUCCCCGAAACUAGUGAGGCAAUGUCAAGUGCACUGACAGACUGUAAAUAGACUGGAUGUCCGUAGACAUCGGUCCACCUGAGAGUAAUCACCAAAAACGGGUACAUGGUGGUUUUAAAAUAACUAUUUUUAGAAAAGUCUGAUAAUUAUCCGUAAUAUGAUUUAUCUGAGCUAAGCUGCUAUUUCUGAAAUAUAAAUCUCAAAGUCUGCUGGUUUCCACUUUUUAGCAUGUUCAACUAAGCAGCAUAGAAAUAAAGAUAUUUUACGAUGCAAUUCAUGCUCGGAAAACAUGCAAUAAUACUUAUUCAAGAUCAAAUAUGAAAUUUAAUUAUAAAAAUCGUUUAGAAAAGAAAAGUCCACUCACUGCUGGUCCGAGCUAGUUGGACCCUUUGAAGGUCCCUCCUGUGGUUCUGCCGGUCCUCUGGUGCCUAAUUACCCAUAAAGAUUAAAUUAAUAAAACUGCUCAAUAAAAGAAUUAAAGUAAACACCCUGCCCCCGGCUCCUAGAAAUGCGUGUACUCAUUUUAAAGUCACUCCUAUGCCCACUUUAGCCUUUCAGACAAUUCGAACGGCCUUGAAAGACCUGAAGCUGUUCCAAGCGAUAAACUGUCAGACCGGCCGAUCCGGAACCUCGUGGGGUCACGAUCCCCGAUGGCCAAUCUGGGAUUCUCUAAAGGUUCCUUACAGAGAAAGACCCAUGUCCUGCGAGUUUGGUCCAAAACGGACGGUCGGAUUAGCCAAAAUUGCAUUAGCGCUUAAAAUCCAAACUCUAGCCCCAGGGUUCGCGAUUUCGGAGUAUCCGGGACUCCGAUUCGCAAUCCGUCGAAUCCUAUACGAUCCUGAAAUCAUGUAGAACGACAUAUCUGAAUUUGGGUGCGAUCCAACGGCUUGACGGUACAGCACACGGGUAUCGCACAAUAUGAAAAAUCCGUUCGGGGCUCAAACGGACUCCAAAUUGAGAUCCGCGAAAGCCUACGCGCUCGUGACAACACGAAGAUUGCAAAACUACUCAGAGUCACUUCACUACCCUCACCCACGCGCCGCCACACGCGCGGGCAGCGAUGGGUGUCUAAAGCGAUUUCGGCUCGCCGGAAAAACUUCAAAUCACGGCUCCAAACUCUUACCCUAGGUAAAACACCAUAUUUGAGCCACUUUUGUUCUUGGACCUACCCCAAAAAGUGACUGGAAGUGGCCCAAAACAGAGACCAAAAAUUGGCUGAAACUUCAAGUUCAAGAAUCCAAUGGCUACACCACAAAUCGAUCUAAUCCGACCCAACAGGCAGCUAUAACAGCUCGAUAGGUUCAAGAUCCAUACCUGGGUCGACGGAAAUGGUGGCCGGAGGAGGAAGAUCGGAGGCCUUGAAGUUUCGGUGAGUUUCCGUCGUUCUUUCGCAGUUUCCGGCCAGCACAGGUCGUCGGCGGGCGGGGGAUCGGUCGGGAAAGGUAGGGGACUCGACGGCGGUUCCAUCUCCACCGGUCCCGUGGCCGGUGGUGCCCUGAGUCUGCGCCAGCAAGCUCUGGAAGGCGGCGGCCCCUUUUUUUUGCGCGAGAAAGAGAGGCUGGCUGGUUUUAUAGAUCCAACUUCGAGAUAUUUACGGUUAUGCCACUAAGACUCUUUUGACCAUAACUCCUUCAUUACAACUCCGAUUCGGGCCCACUACAUGUCUAUGAACUCAUUUCACCGUGCUUUACGCAACGGUGUAAGUGGAAUUGUCAAAUUCCUCCUCGAUCAAAAAGUCAUCUUUUUCUUAAUAAAAUAUUCCGAUGGCAAAAUUAUCUUUUCGCAUAAUAAAAUAUUCCUUAAUUUUGAAUUUUAGGUUUGAGUUAUUAUAUCAAAUCUAUGCGAAAGUUUAUAAAAGUCUAUAAUAAAGUACAUAAAAGUCAUUAAAACUACUUUGUGAAGUUUAAUUAUAAAAGUCAUUCACUUUAAAAAGUCUAUAAAAGUCUUUAUAAGUGUAGAUUGAAUACAUCCAUUAAGUUAAAGAUCGAUUCGGAGUUUACCAUAAACUUGGUUGUUUUUGCUCCAAAAACUCACAACCAAAAAAAUAGGGCGCUCACAGCUUCGGGAAAACACAAAUACAAACCAUUUACAAAAACAACGUUGCGCAGCAGUCACUGUUUUCUUUGUAACUUGAUACAAAUAAAAGGAAAUGUGAAUAAAGGACUUCAACCUGUACAAGAUUAAACAGAAAAAAUAUGUAGAGCUAAUUAAUUAUCAUUUGCUUAAUGAUCUCAGCAUCUUACAACAAGCAAAUCUCACGUCCAACUCGGAACUGAGAAUACUGAAAGAGAAGCAGUCGGUUGCAGAGAGUAAUUAAGUUAAGCUAGAUCAGAUUUUAAUUAGUUUAGCAAUUGUACUAGCUGACUUGACUUGACUAUAUUGUUAAAUUAACCUAAACGAUUGGUCAGCGUUGUAUUAACUUUUUUUUUUUUUGGGAUAUCUAGCAACUACAUAUUAUGUGGUGUUAUAUCAGAAGUGGAGGAUUCGGUGGUGACACCCUAGCUAGGUAAAGAUAUUCAAUUCGUUAUAGUGUGGCUAUUCCGAAAGCAAUAUCUUACAACUAAAGAAUAAAUUCAUAUUAUAUGUCAUCUUUUAUAAUUUAAAUCAAAAUUAAAAAGUAACAGGUUUUAUCAUAUUAUAAUUCAAUGUGGGACUUGUAUUUCUUCUUUGAAGUCGUUAUAACUCAUUUCAUCAAAUUAAUGCAGAAAAAAUUGCUUCCUCACUUGAAUAUAUGGGUUGGAAAAGCAUUGUGGAGAUUUCAGGCCAACUAAAUGGUCCAAGUCUCUCGUUGUUUCAGCAUGUCUACAAGAAUAAGUAGAUAAGUACCCUCUCAUGCAGUAUAACAGUUGUGUUUGAAGUUUUGAGCACAAUACGUGGACUCUUCUACACCAUUUGGACUAGUUUAUUGUCAUGUUGACGGUAGUGGACCAAGCAUCAUUUUUUUGGAUAUCUAAACUACACCACCAUUCAAGUACUAAGGGGCUAAAAUCUAUAUGGGUUUACUUCACAAUGUCAUCACAUGAUCGAAUUAUUCAAUUUUUAGGUCAUCAUCAUUUAUAAGAAGUAUUGAGUUCAUCUAUUUAUUUGAGUAACUUUUUGUAAGAUGACAUUACGGAGGUCAUCAUCGUUUAUAAGAAGUAUAAAGUAAUAGCUAAUGUUGUAAUAAUUUGAUAAUAAGAUGUUAGAGCUUUUGGAUAAAACUUAAAAAUAAUAAUUAAGUAGAGGGAUUCAUAGGAAGUAUUGACAUACUCUCAUCUUACUUUUUUGUUAUUUUUUUAAAAUAAUUUAAAUAAAGAUAAAAAGUAACAUGUUUUAUCAUUAAGGCUAUAUGUGGACUCAAAUUGCUUCCAUGAAGUCCAAAUAAUCAUUACUGCAUAAAAUAUUUCCCGACUUGAGGAGUGGGUUGGAGAGAAGCAUAAGUUGACUAUUGUGGAACAACUGUUGAAUUCUCAUUGCACUUUCUUUGUUUGUUUUUUCUUUUGUCCCUUUUUUCUUUGGGAAUAGGAUGAGAACAAUCAGACAUGAUUUUCUUUCCGUGUGCGUGGUGCUGUGGUGAGGAAAUAUACCACACAGGUAUAUGGUCAAGGUCUUCCUCUACAUUGCCUGCUUAGACUUGGAUUCUUGCUUCUCUAGACUUAAAAGUCUUCCUUUUGGAAAUUUCACACCUAAAAGGAAAUUUCCUUCGAGUUUAGCGAAGAAAACGGUCUAUUCGCUUGAAAACAAUAUAUAGACUAAUUUAUUGUCAAGUUGAUGGGAGUGGACCAGAAUCAUUUAUUUGGAGAUACAAAUUUCAAUGGCUCUAUGCUUAGCCCGGUUUAUAGGGCUAAUAAGAAAAAAAUUAGCCAUAUCAAAAAUCGUUUCUUCAUUUAAUUAUUAUUUUGAAAUUUUUUAUUCUUUGUAUAAGUAUUGUGUUCGUCUAUUUUUUAAUUAUUUUAUACCACAAUUAGAUGACUAAUGAAAAUUUAGCUAACUUUUUAUAAGGAUGAUAUUUGAUUCACCGCCUAAAAAAUAACGAUUCAGAUCAUUUUAAUAAUAUUGUGAAGUGGACUCCAACACUUUGUAAGCAUUGUAUUAAUUUUAAUAAUGGAUUGUGGUGUAGGGUUUCUGAUCUAAAUAAUUUUCAAACAACUUCUGGAAUACUAACAUAAUAUCAUGUAAGUUAGGCUUAGCAGUACACUAAAGCAUUACAUAUUUACAUGGACCAAGAAAGAGAAGUAGUUGCCUGCAGAAAGCAAUUAAGCUAGAUCAGAUUUUAGUUUAGCAACUGUACUAGCUGACUUGACUUUGACUUUGUAAAGUUCUGCUUUUCUACUUUCUUGUUGGUCCCAUGCAUAUGGCCCCAAUUUACACGUUAUAACCACUAAACCUUUUUCUAUUUUAGAUUUUGUCUUAUUAAUCACCUAAAAUUUGGGGGUGUAAGUAUGAUGAAUUUUAAUGACUUCAAUGAAAUUAAAAGUGAGGUAUUUAUUUUAGAUUUUUAAAGAGUUUAUAAAAAUUUACCAAAGUCUGACCAAGACACUCAAUUCAUGACUUCUAGUGAGUAUAUGAUCGAUAUACAAAUAGAUGGCUCGCCUCAAUAGUGACGCAACUCCCUAGCUACAGUCACGAAUACGUAAAUAUCUUAUUUGUUUUUCAUUAUUUUGAUUCAUGUUCCUCUCUUGAUUGGUUUCUUAAAUCCACGUCUGGGUAUUCAUUGAUUCAUGCCUACAUUUUUUUUGUCAUAAAGGAAUUUCAUGGGAGAGCUGAAAGGGUAGAAAGUAAGUAAUAAGCAAAUUCAUAACAAAGAGGAAUGGUCUAAGGAGGUGGUUUGAGGAUGCCCAACCACCAUUGAAACCUCAUGAGAAUCACAUAACAUGAGUAUAUGGUCAAAGUCUUCCCCAAUAAUCAGAGAUGGAAAAAAGAGAAGUGAAAUAAUUAGCCAAAUAGUAUCGGUGGACAAAAAUUCAAGCAUUCACACACUGAAGAAAGAAAAGGGCACAUUGGAGUGGCAGCACAAUGAACCCCCUCUUAAACGCUUUACGUACGAAGUUCUGUUGAUUUUUGUUGAGUUCAUUUCUAGUGGGAGUGACAACACGUUACACAAUAGGUCUCCCAAUUUACACGUUUUACGUACAAACUUCUGCUUUUCUAUUUUCUUGUUGGGUCCACGUAGGAAAACCAUGCAUAUGGCCCCAAUUCAACAGCUGUGUUUGAAUAUUAGUCAACAGUUUUGAGCACAGUACUAGCUUGGUAUGUUUUGCAUCUCUGAGUUUAACGGAGAGGGUGGUCUAUUCCGUUGAAAACAAUACAUAGACUAAUUUAUUGUCAUGUUGAUGGGAAUGGAGUGGACCAAGAAUCAUUUAUUUGGAGAUAUAUAUAAAUUCAAGUGCUAUAUGCUUAAUCCAAUUUGUGGGCUAAUAAGUAAAAAAUUAGUCAAAUUGAAAAUCGAUAAUUCAUUUAAUUAUUAUCAUGAAUGUUUUUUCAUUAUUUAUAGGAAGUAUUGUGUUCGUCUAUUAUAUUUUAUCGCAAUUAGAUGCCGGAAUAUUUUCAAAUUUAGUAACUUUUUAUAAGGAUGAUUUUUAAUUCAUGACCUGAAAAAUGAACGAUUCAUAUCAUUUUAAUGAUAUUGUUAAAUUGACCUAAACGAUUGAUCAGCAUUGUAUUAAAUUUUUUUUUUUUUUAGAUAUCUAACAACUACAUAUUAUGUGGUGUUAUAUCAGAAGUGGAGGAUUCGGUGGUGACACCCUAGCUAGGUAAAGAUAUUCAAUUCGUUAUAGUGUGGCUAUUCCGAAAGCAAUAUCUUGCAACUAAAGAAUAAAUUCAUAUUAUAUGUCAUCUUUUAUAAUUUAAAUCAAAAUUAAAAAGUAACAGGUUUUAUCAUAUGAUAAUUAAACGUGGGACUCAUAUUUCUUCUUUGAAGUGGAUAUAACUCAUUUCAUCAAAUUAAUGCAGAAAAAAAUUGCUUCCUCACUUGAAUAUAUGGGUUGGAAAAGCAUUGUGGAGAUUUCAGGGCAACUAAAUGGUCCAAGUCUCUCGUUGUUUCAGCAUGUGUACAACAAUAAGUAGACAAGUACCCUCUCAUGCAGUAUAAACACUUGUGUUUGAAGUUUUGAGCACAAUAAGUGGACUCUUCUACACCAUUUGGACUAGUUUAUUGUCAUAUAUGCUCAACCACAAUAAUUCAAAAUACACCAUUAUAUAUGAAUAUAUCUUAAGAGUCUCAAUUGUAACAUGUACUGAACGUUUGAUGAAUUAUUGCCAUCUAAUUAAUACUUUACAUUGAAAUUUAUUGAACUCAAACCAGUUUUUUAAUUAACUAGUACUAUCUACUUAACACACGACAAUACCAUAACAAUCUUAUUAAUUAUAAGAACACUCGAAGACUCUUCUCAUAAGUGAGCAGUAUAAUCCUUGCAGACACAAUUGCUUUUUCAGCGUAGAGGUCUGUUCAUUAUAUUCUCCUUCAACUCGAAGUGCUGGCAAAAGGAUUAGGAGGCAUGGCGAGAUUCUCACCUUCUCUUUCCAACAUUUGAACUACAACUUUCAUUGAAGGACGAUCUAUUGGAUGCCACUGGAUGCACCAUAGACCCACAAUUGCAAGUUUCCUAGCAAUUGUUACAUCUACUUCGUCGUCACCGAUAUGGAUUCGUAGGUCGUUGCGUUGCUCUAAAAGGUUAUAGAUCCAUUCUGGGAAGUAGACUUGGCUAGUGGAGUCCUCCAUGACUUUAAAGUUUUUUCUGGCCCCAACCAUUUCAAGCAACAAUAUUCCAAAACUAUAGACAUCUGACUUAUAAGAGACAUUGCCGAAGUUCCUUGAGAAGAUUUCAGGUGCAAUGUAGCCCAUGGUCCCCCUAGCUGUAGUCAUCGAUAUUGCACUUUGAUCCUUAGCACAAAACUUGGCUAAACCGAAAUCAGAAACCUUUGGAGUGAAAUCUUGGUCUAGCAAUACAUUAUGUGGUUUGAUAUCGAAGUGCAGGAUUCGUUGGUCGCAUCCUUGGUGAAGAUAUUCAAUUCCUUUAGCUAUUCCUAGAGCGAUAUCUUGCAACUUUUCCCAACCAAUGAAUGAAUUCUUAUUGUCUGCUGAUGAUAAGAAAUUUUGCAAGGAACCAUUUGGUAAGUAUUCGUAAACAAGAGCACGAAUAAAUCCGUCAGCACAAACUCCAACCAAGCGAACCACAUUGAGAUGGUGGAUCUGACACAUUGUCCCCACUUCGUUUAUGAAAUCUUCCCCAUUUUCAUUUGAAUUGUUGAGGAUUUUCACAGCAACAAGUAACUCAGAGGAAAGCAUUCCUUUGAACACUGUUCCGUAGGCACCUUGACCCAACUUUUCCUUGAAUUGACUUGUUAUCCUCUUAAUAUCAGCAUAGGAGUAUCUACUUGGCUUCAUCGCUCUGUAUUCAUCCAAAAAUCUUUCAAUUCUAAGCUGAUUUUCAUUUUCCUUUUUGUUUGAGUUGUAGACAUAGCAGAUUGUCGUUCCCGUCGCUAUUAGAACUAAACACAGUGCGCAAAUACCUGCAAAUAUUUUCUUUUUGUGUCAAACGUUUUUUAAAGGGUUUUUAGCCAUUUUAAACUCUGUUCCAAACAUACCCUUGAUUAAUUUCCUCACCAUUAUGUUCAUAAAAGAAAGAAAAAGGAAGAAGAAAAAAAAAGAAAUUAGAUGAAAUGAAGGUCUGCUGAUAUAGCUCACCUAAUAUCUUCAGAUUUGUCCUUCUAAGAUUACGACCUGUAAAAGUUGUUCAUGAAAUAAGGGCCGGUUUUCAAAUCAAUGAAAUCCAAAAUUAUAGUUUGCGUAUAGAAUCUUUUGAAUCUUGAAAUAAUCUUGAAAUUAUAGUUGGAAAGUAAACUUGGAGUGUAAAAUACCUUUGCAAUGUUCACAUGAUGGAAUGGACCAAUGCAAUAACAAAAAUGGUCCUUGGUACAAUGCAAUGUUCUCAUGAGAUAUAUAUGCAGGAUCUGAUGGGUAGUCAUGCACCUUGGUACAAGACACUAGGGGCAUGUCAGCAAUGGAACAAGAAUAAUCAAUGACAGCGUAAAUACGGUUACCAGAAUUGUUGCCAUGGCAUGGGCUCAAUCUUGUCAGACAACAAUAACGAUUGGAACAAUAUUCAUCUCUUACUGUUGACGGUGGACAACUGAAUAAGGUUGCCCGGCCUACCAAUUCAAGGGGAUAAGAACCAUCACUGUAAAACAACUCCCUUGGCAAGCAACGAAAACGAACAUAGGCUGGUUGUGUUCCACUAAUUGUAUGAGAUGUGUAGUUAAUCGCAUCAACAAAGACCUUAGCUGACGACGAUGGUAACUCAAGCAUAGUCUGGUUGAAGUCAGUGCAUGAAACAUCAAAUCCCCGGCAGCCGCAAUGGAUUGGCUGCCUACCUUUAAGGCGAAAUGGGUAUCGGAUGGCUGGUUCUCUCGGGCCACAUCUUGUUUCUCUGCAAUCUUCAUGGCCUACUCCACCAUUGAGUGCAUCUACUACUAUUACGACUAUCAUGAGCAACCACCGUGAGAAAUUCAUGAUGGCAAUAAAUUAUUUGCAGAGUACAAGUAUCCUUGAAGAUGAUACGAUAUGAUAUAUGGACUUGGGUUUCCUUUUUUCUUUUCGUUGUGUGGAUUACUUGAGAUGACAUGGGCCCCACUCCUUCUGGAUGUUUUAGUCAAUGCCCGACGUGUACGGUGAUCUCUUAAUUUUUAUCUGAUUAUGCACCCAAAAAAAAACAAAACCAAAAACCAAAAAAAAAAAAAAAAACUUUAUAUUAUCUCUUUAAAGAGUUAAAACUUCACUAAAUUGGAAAUAUCCCUUGUGCUCUGGCAGCAUGUCUGGAGGAAGUCUCCUGUUUGCUGCUUACACAGUUCUCCUUCUUCUUCUUCUUCUUCAUGUUCCUUCCUCUUGUUCCCACACAGCUUCCAAUGAUAACUCUGAUUGUACCCGUUCUUGUGGAAAUAUUAACAUAAGCUCUCCAUUCCGAUUGAAAGGAGACUCUAAACACUGCGGCGUCAGCGACAAAAGCUACGAGCUAUCUUGUGAGGCCAAGGGAAAUGGUACUACUCAUCAUGCAGUGCUAUACUUGUUAUCAGGAAAGUAUUAUGUACAAGCAAUCAAUUACAAUAACUUCGCAAUCCGACUUGUGGAUGCUGGCGUUCACAAGAUCAAGGACAACUACUUCUCCCACCCACUCUACUCCUUGACCUCCUUCAACUUUUCUUAUUACUCCGAUUAUACAGGUCCUUAUUAUUGGAACCUAAGAGGAUCAAUGUCUAUAAUCUUCCUGAGCUGUGAAAAUCCAAUGAAUCCUUCCGAUCUCAUUGUUGAAACAGCUCCAUGCAUCAGUGGGGUCAACAACUAUUCUUCUUCCAAUUCUUCUUUCUCCAAUUUAACAACAUAUUCUUAUUUCAUAAAAUCCAAUUUAACAACAUACGACUUGGGGGAUUCCUGCAAAAUAACACUAAUGGUUAUGGUGUCCCCUUCAACUGAGGAGCACAUGACGUCUUGCAAAGGAAUAUAUAAUGAAAUAGCGCAUGGCUUUGAACUCUCAUGGGAACCUUGCAGUCCGAACAGCACCGCCAUUGCAGUUUCAUGCUCGCCAGAAGGUUAGACAAUUGCCAAACCUUUAAAUUAUAAAUUAUAUAUUAAAGAUGGCUUAUUUACUAUAGUAGCCUCUGAAACUAUGUCAAAUAUCAGUUUUACCCCUGGAAGUUAAACUGUAAUUUCCAACCGUUACUAAGCUAAUGUUACAGUUUUCUUUUCGAUGUAGCACCCUGGCUCAUGAAGAUAAUAAUAUUACAGUUUUCUUUUCAAAAUUUGUGUGUAUAAUUUAUGUUGGUCUAACCAGAAUUCUCUUUAUGCUUAUGUUACUGUCUUCUUUCGCAAUGUAGCACCCUGGUCAAGAGAAAUCCCUUGGUACAACGAGAUCAUAAUGCUCAUAAUCGAGAAAGUAGGCGAGUGGAUCCCUCAACUUUGUAAAUAGACGUUUACUUUUCUUUGGCCUUUUCGCUUGACUAACCACCUUAGUCAUUCCAUUGAUCGAUUGAUUUCUUUACUUCUGUUGCAGGAUACCGUAUUCACCCCAUAUAUGCGUUCUUAGGCUUUGACAGGCUUUUCUCUAUGGGUGGUUACAGAUUAUACCUUGGCCAGCUUCUGGGAUGUGCAGUCGCUCCCCUAGGUAAGAGAAUACUUGUGUGGAUCACUGGAACAUUAAUAUUCUUAUUUUGAUUGAGAUGGAUUUGCAAAGGGAGUAUAUUAUUAUUAUUAUUAUUAUUAUUAUUAUCAUUAUUAUACUUCGUGUUCAUUAAUUCCAUUUUUGUGAAACAUGCAGUACUAUACUUAGCAGCCAAAUUUACAAUUGGUUUUCCCUUUGUAACUGCACUGCUAAUAUAUAAAUGGCGAAGGAGGCACUUGUCAAUGUAUGAGAAUAUAGAAGACUUUCUACAGAGUAAUAAUAAUCUCAUGCCAAUAAGGUACUCUUACUCGGACAUCAAAAAGAUGGCAAGAGGUUUCAAGGACAAAUUGGGUGAAGGAGGCUAUGGCUCUGUAUACAAGGCAAAGCUCCGCAGCGGUCACCUUGUAGCCAUCAAGAUGUUAGGCAAGUCCAAAACUAAUAACGGCCAAGACUUUAUCAAUGAGGUUGCUACCAUUGGAAGGAUUCGUCAUGUUAACGUGGUGCGACUUAUUGGCUUCUGUGUUGAAGGUUCAAAACGUGCUCUUCUAUAUGAUUUCAUGUCUAAUGGGUCUCUUGAGAAAUACAUUUUUUCUCAACAAGGAGAUGUGUCUUUAAGUUGCCAUAAAAUAUUUGAAAUCGCACUUGGAGUGGCUCGUGGUAUUGAUUACCUCCAUCAAGGCUGUGACAUGCAAAUUUUGCACUUUGACAUCAAGCCUCACAACAUUCUUCUAAACGAGAAUUUUACUCCCAAGGUCUCUGAUUUUGGGUUAGCAAAGCUAUACCCAUUGGAUAAUAGCAUUGUAUCUUUGACUGCAGCAAGAGGAACCAUGGGAUACAUUGCUCCAGAACUGUUCUACAAAAACAUUGGAGGUGUUUCGUACAAAGCUGAUGUGUAUAGUUUCGGAAUGCUAUUGAUGGAAAUGGCUGGUAGAAGGAAAAACCUGAAUGCGGGUAUAGAACAAUCAAGCCAAUUUAGCCAAAUCUACUUUCCGACAUGGGUUUCUGAUCAGUUGAAGGCAGGAAAGGACAUAGAAAUAGGAGAUGAUGCAACAGAUGAGGAAAAGAAGAUCAUAAAGAAGAUGAUGAUGGUGGCUUUAUGGUGCAUACAAAUGAAGCCUAUCGAACGCCCUUCAAUGAAUAAAGUAGUGGAGAUGCUUGAAGGAGAAAUUGAGACCCUCCAAAUGCCUCCAAGGCCUUUCUUAUACCCACAACAAAUUCCUGCAGAUGAAGUUGGUGUGGACAAUCGAAGUCCCUGUGCAUCAAGUGCUUCAGAAUCUGAAGAGAUUACUUUGAUUGCGAAUGCAAAUUAAGUGAAUUAAUAUUAGUCACGAUGUGGAUCUAUGUAAGGGAAAGUUAGCAGCUCUACUCUGUAUUUGAUCAUAGCACAAAUAUGUUUACAUGUUGUAAUUGAUUUAAGCAAAUAAUCAGCCUCUGGCUUUGGUUAUUGUUUGAGAAACUGCCUGCCAGAAAUGCAAUGACUUGAACUUUGAUGACAAAUAGGUUUACCCAAAUGAAUUGCCCCAGAGAAACAAUUCAUUUGUAUAUGGAUAUGUUAUCGAGUGGGCUUAUUAUGCUUGAAUCAAGGGUUCAAAAUUAAACAAGACCCUAUACGUCAAAUAAUCUCCAUAUCUGAAUUAGAAUCCAGUUCUACCGACAAUGACUAAACCAUAUGUAAGAGUUUACAGACUCAGAGCAAAGCUACAGACUUGGAUUUGGACCAAAGUGAAACUCAAACUCAAACUCAAAAACCUUAGUGCAAGUCCCUAACCUCCUUAAUUUCUAGGGCUGAAAUCUGAUGCAACUCUGAUGUGGAAAUACCAUACCCCUUUUGUGAACUAGAGCUUAAUGGAGCCAGCAAUUUGGGCUAAAAGAUUGAAAAGUGCAAACUACACGACUGAACCACAGACAGGAACAAAGAAAAAGCUUAAAAAACAUUAGCCUAAGCUGCACAAUCCACGUUGGCCGACCGUGGAGACCUUCCAAAGGGAAGUGCCAGUUUCACUAAAUUCUAAAUUCUUAACAUAGGAAUAUGGCAGACAAACUUGAUUAACAAAUAAAUUAAAAGAAAAAAACUGCAACUAAACCAAUCUGAUAAGUGGUAGAGUGGUAUAAUCUUCUCUUCUGACAUAGAUAACACACAUCACAGAAGUAGAAGACAUUGCUGUUAAAACUAAAAGUUACACACAUUCUAUACACAACUCUGUUAUUAGAUCAUUGAUCCCAUCCUCAACCCUAAAAAAAGCUCUUGAUUUUUGAACAUAUAUCCCAACCAUCUUCAAAUCCACUAGGAUCGGCAAAGCCUAUAGAUGUUCUAAACAACCACUCAUAAGGUGGAUUCAACGAGGUUAAUAACCAAAGCCAAAACAAGCAUGAGACAGAUUUUCUAAGCAACUACUCUGUUUCUUUCUAAAUAAUGUUGCCUCCAUCCAUUUUCAAAUCCUCUAGGAUAAGCAACCCUCCAUCAAUAAACACCGAGAGC
RNAcentral lists this long non-coding RNA (63410 nucleotides) under Prunus persica (peach). RNAcentral's name for it is "long non-coding RNA (PPER_LNC005920)". Lineage: Eukaryota; Viridiplantae; Streptophyta; Magnoliopsida; Rosales; Rosaceae. The record is from RNAcentral.